RNAcentral lists this long non-coding RNA (77615 nucleotides) under Glycine max (soybean). RNAcentral's name for it is "long non-coding RNA (GMAX_LNC002334)". Lineage: Eukaryota; Viridiplantae; Streptophyta; Magnoliopsida; Fabales; Fabaceae. The record is from RNAcentral.
UUGUUGGAGGGUAGGGACUAUUAUUUGACCUUUAGAUGGUUAGUCUGUCACUUCGAAGUUCGAACAAUGAUUAGUUAGAUAUCAUAAGUUUCCAACAAUAAUUGUGAAUUUUCAUUGGUUGUUAACUUGUUAAUGUCGCUUUACAAAUUGAUCAUGCUAUUGCAUACAAGGAUUUGCUUUCUUCUAGUACAUGGUUCAAACUGACUUGGAUUACCAUGAAAAAUGCAGUUUUCCUUGUACUUGUUUCUCACAUUUAAGAGUAUAUCCUUCUUUUCCCCCAUUGAAGAUUGUGGUGCAGGAAGUUGUAAACUUCUCUUGGGAAUGCUGUCCCUAAUGUGUUUGAAUGGAGGAUGAAUUUAGGUGGAAGAAUGUUUCUGAAAGGCACAUCAAGAUAUGUGGAAGAUAGAUUUCUUGUUCAGUUAAAAACUUAAAAUCCCUGAAUUUCUCCAUAUAUGAAAUACUCAAAGUGGCCUAUAUGGGUUGUGAGCGGACAUUGCGCUGUACUCUAUGAUUAUUCAAAAAUGAGAAUGAACUGGAGAAAAAGGGAAUCAUAGAUUGGAAAUAUUUUGAUGAGCAAGAUCAUAGCAAAAGUGUGGAGGGUACACUUGCAGUAAACAUAUGAAAAUCAGUCAAAGAUUAGAAACCUCUUUAGACAUAUUAGUAAAAUAAACAAACAAAAAAUAUUCAAAGGCACUAUAACAUGACAAACUAAAUGCCUUCAAUAUGUUAAUCACCAAAUAAAAAAUCAUUUACCUGGAGAUAUAAGACUGAUCUAAUGGUAAAGGGAAAAGAAAAGUGGUUGCAUGUUUAAAUCCUUUUUUUUUUUUACAAAAAUUAAUAAUAUUAAUAACUAACAUUUACUAGUAAAAAAUUCUCUUUAAAAUAAAACAUUCAUGAUAAUACUUAUGAGAAAAAUAUAAACAUCAGUCCAAAACUCUUAAAUAACUAUAUUAGAGUAAUUCCUAUGUAAUUAGAAGUUUAUUGAUUUAAGUGAUAUUGAACUUGAUUUUCUUCGAAAAGGUAUUGAGUUUGACCUUUGUGAAUGAAAAAAAAUAAUUGAGAAGGGAAAAUUUUAUUAAAGAUAAUCAUCUAAAAUUCCAUAGAUUAAUAUAAACAAAGGAAAUUCAAUAACACAUUAAAAAAAAAGAAUAAUUCCUAUGCAUUGCAUACACAACUGGAAAAAGUAAUCAAAAUAGUGGAGUGUAGACCUGUGCAAGAGAGAUAAAAGUACAAAACAAUAAAAUAUUCUAAAAAAAUGAUGUAUAAUAAUAGGUAUAUAUAUAUAUAUAUAUAUAUAUAUAUAUAUAUAUAUAUAUUAUAUCAUAUCAUAUCUUAAUAUUAUUUAAUUUAUCUCAAAUAUAAAAUAGAAUACCCUCUAUUAUCUGACAAAUUAUUUGAUACAUAUGAUAGAUAAUAUAAAAAAUUAUCAUAUUCUUUUCUUAUCUUAUUUUUAUUCAAUUCUUUUAUUCUAUCUUAUCUUAAUUACUCUUUUCAUCUUUAAUUAUAAAAUGUUUUUAGAAUUUUAUUUAUUCUUUUUUAUAUUUUUUUAAAAAAUAUCUAAAUAUAUUAGUUAUUUUUUUCUACAUAUUCUCACUUAAUUAUUCUCUUUCUAAAUAAUAAUGAAAAAUAAUUAUUAAAUGAAUAAAAAAAUUAAUUUUUUAAUAUAAUUAUUUAAAUUAAUUAUUUUUAUAUGAAUUAGUUAAAAUAAUGUUAUAAUUAACCUCUAUGAGAAUAGUAUACAACAUUAAAAUGUUGGUCCCAAAACCUUAGGAAAAUAAAAGACAGUAACGCACCAUGGACAUAGGUUAAUGACAAUAAAUAUCAAUAACAUUAAAUAAAAUGACAUAAACAAAUCAUUUUCAAAUUUUAAAGACUAAAAUGUAUAAAUAAUGAAGGUGUAAGAUCAAAUUAAUAGGUUAACCUAAAAUAAUUUAAAGUUACAAGAUACAGAAAAAAUACAACCCUAGAACAAGAACACUGUGCUUGUGCAAAUUUCUUUUACUCUGCCUCAGUUAUCAUUGCGUAUACAUAUGUGCACAAAUACGUAUACAAUACUAUUUAAUAUUUACCCACAAUUCAUUCACUCACAUUCCUACAGGGUUCAAACCUUUGCUUCACUCCUUCAACGCCGUACUAUCGUUUCCGAGAACCAUCUCUUUUUUUCUCGCCGCUCUUCCCCGCAAUCGCAACGCGCGUUUUGCUUCUCCUUUUAUCGCAGAUUCUCUGCGUCGUCACCAGACUCACGUACGGUUCGCCCUACACGAAUCUCGCACUUUUUUUAUUUUUCUCCCUCUGGCGUAGAAUUUGUGCAAAUCGAUCUUUUUCUUCAAUUUUCCUUUCGAUUUUGCAGUUCCGUGAUUCGAACGCGGCGUGGGGAAGAGAAAACCCUAAUCCGACAUGGGGAAGAAGAAGCCGACGGCGAGGGACGAAGAGAACGCGUCGCAGCAAGGCGGCGGCGGGAAAUCGAAGAAGAAGGCGGUUGUCAUCGACGACGAUGAGUACUCCGUCGGAACUGAGCUCUCCGAGGAGCAGGCACCGGCGUCAGAGGAGAAACCCGCCGCGGCGGGAAAGAAGAAAGGUAAGAAAGGUAAUGCUAAAGCUAAGAACAAUGAUGAUGAUGUUGAUGAGGAUGAGGAUGUUUCUGGAAUUGUGUUUGCUGGGAAGAAGAAGGGGAAGAAUAAGAAAGGUGGUGGGAGCAGUGCGUUCACUGCUUCUGGCUUUGAUUUGCUUGGUGACGAGGAAGAUGAUGAUGAAGAGAAAUCUGGGUUGACCGGUGAGGUUGAUGGUGAGGAAGAGGAUGAACCUGUGGUUAGUUUUACGGGGAAGAAGAAGUCAUCCAAGAAAGGAGGUGGUAGUUUGUUCAGUGCAUCUGCUUUUGAUGAUGGUGAGGAGGAGGAGGAUGAGACAGUGAUUAGUUUUUCUGGCAAGAAGAAGUCCUCUAGAGGUUCGAAGAACUCUGCCUCGGCUUUUGAUGCUAUUGAUGAUGAUGCGGAUGGUAAGGUGGUGGAUGAUAAGAAUGACGAUGUUGAUGAUGAUGAUGAGCCUGUUAUUUCUUUCACUGGGAAGAAGAAGUCUUCCAAAGGGGGUAAGAAGGGUGGUUCUGUGUUUUCGGCUGCUGUUCUCGGUGAGAUUGAUGACGAUGAGGAGAAUAAGGAUGAUGGUGGUGGUGAUGAUGAUGAUGAUAUUGGACCGAUCACUUUCUCUGGUAAGAAAAGGAAAUCUUCCAAAAAGGCUGCUAAUUCCGUUAGCAAAGGUGCUUCUGUUGAGGAAGGUGAUGACAAGGAUGAGGAUGAUGUUUCUUUAGUUGCAUUUUCAGGUAAAAAGAAGUCUUCUAAAAAGAAGGGCAGUAGUGCUGCUGCCAAAGCGAGUGAUGAAAAUGUGGAUGUAGUGGAGCCUGAGGCACCCAGUGUUGGUAGUACUGAUGCUGGCAACAGCAAUGUAAAUAAGAGUGAAGAGGUCGCUGGAAAUUCUAAAAAUAAAAAGAAGAAUAAGAAGAAGAGUGGAAGAACUGCUCAAGAGGAGGAAGAUUUGGACAAACUUCUUGCAGAGCUUGGUGAGACCCCUCCUGUACCCAAACCCACAACUCUACCCCAGGAUGAUAAAGUUCAGCCUAUUCCUGAAGUAGUACCUGUUGCUGAUGCUUCCGGGCAAAAGGAAGGUGAAGAGGAGACUGUAGAGACAGCUGCUGCAAAGAAGAAGAAGAAGAAAAAGGAAAAGGAAAAGGAGAAGAAGGCAGCUGCGGCAGCAUCAGCCGUAGGAACUGCACCAGAAAAUGGAACAGCAGAAGAUAAAGCUGAGGUAAUUGAACCGAAGAAGAAUGAUUCAAAGGCUAAAAAAGCGGCUGAUAAGAAAGUGCCAAAGCAUGUUAGGGAGAUGCAAGAGGCACUAGCUCGAAGACAAGAGGCUGAAGAAAGGAAGAAAAGAGAAGAGGAGGAAAGGUUAAGGAAGGAGGAAGAGGAGCGUCGUAAGCAAGAGGAACUUGAGAGGCAAGCAGAAGAGGCUAGACGCAGAAAGAAGGAAAGAGAAAAGGAGAAACUCCAGAAAAAAAAGCAAGAAGGUAAACUGUUAACUGGUAAGCAGAAGGAAGAAGCCCGCCGUCUGGAGGCAAUGAGGAGGCAGAUUCUCAAUAACACAGGGGGCAUGACUCUCCCUGGUGGGGACUCUGGUGCUCCACCCAAAAAACCCAUAUAUCAAACGAAGAAGGUAAAACCAAAUAAUCGUAAUCAGAAUGGUGCUGCUGCUGCUGCUCCUGCUCAGACUGCUGAAACUGUUGAAGCAAAGGAGACUGAUGCUGACCUUGCUUCAGAGGAACCAGAAAAGAUUGAAGAAGUGGAGUCGGUCCAGGUGGAUGACAAAGUUGAACUUCUUGUAGCUGAUGAAGAUGAUGGGGCGGAAGAUGAUGACGAGGAUGAAUGGGAUGCAAAAAGCUGGGAUGAUGUUAAUCUGAAUAACAAAGGUGCAUUUGCUGAUGAAGAGGUUGACUCAGAGCCUAAACCUAUCGUCAAGGAGAUUAAAAAUGCUGUACCUGCUCAGAAUGCUGGUGAGAUUUGCAUUUUAUUCAUAUUUUGGCUUGUUCUUGUCCUGCCUGAAAUUGAAACCUCUUAGAUGGUUGAGAAUGACAAGCUUGGUGCUGUAGAGUUCUGGUCCCUAUUGUGGUACCCUUAUUAUAGGUUAUUAUAAGCAUUAAAGAAUAUAUCUAUGAACGUGUUUUGGUAUACAGAACUAUAAAUUGAUGGUGCUUUGAAUUUUGGACCAAGCACUUAGUUUUGGAAUUUUUUUCCUGCUAGCAAGUGACUUCUUGGUUGUAUUAAUGUUUUUUUUUUAACGGCAUUAAUUUAUAUUGAAUUAAGAAGACAGGUAAUGGCACAAGUUGUGUCAAACCCAUUGAUAGAUUACAAAGUGAUAAGAGCAGUUUUUAAUAACCAUACACUUGCUUGAUGGUAGUUCCCAGGCCAAAACAAUGUAAAUGAAAAACCCUUUUAAAGACCAUAAGAGCAAACAUUGUUCUCUACUUGGUUAUAUUAAUGACAUUAUCACCUGCUUCCAUAAAGCAGAAAAUUGUUCAGAGAUUCUACUGACUACAGGAAUUGGUGUCAAACAUGAAACUGGCAGUGGGAUGCAUUCUUUUCUAGUCUAAAUAUGAUAACAAUGUGUAGUUUUAUCUCCACCCUUGCUUUGGAUUGAAACAAUGGUGUUUGAUUGACCCAAGUAAAUCUCCCUGUAGCAUGUGUUUAGUUGUUAUUGUUGUGUGUCUCCAAGUGCCUGAGGGGUUUAGUUGGUGGAUUUUGGCUUAUACUUUUGUUUCCCUAGUAAAUUUAAUCUUUUGAUUCUUUACUAAUAACUACUUCCCCGCUAAUGUAAAAAUUGGGUUCUUUCCUUCUAUGCAACAGGUGCUACUAAGCCUGUGGUUGAAGAAAUUGAAAAUGGAAAGCAGGCUAAGCCUCACUUGAAUAGGGAACCAAGAAAGUCUGCUGUGCCUCCUAAGCCUAGUGAUGAGAACCUCCGAUCCCCAAUUUGCUGUAUCAUGGGGCAUGUCGAUACUGGCAAAACCAAGCUGCUGGAUUGUAUUCGAGGUACUAAUGUUCAGGAAGGUGAGGCUGGCGGCAUCACACAACAGAUUGGUGCUACAUACUUCCCUGCUGAGAACAUACGUGAAAGAACAAAGGAACUGAAAGCUGAUGCAAAGCUGAAAGUUCCCGGUCUACUGGUUAUUGAUACCCCAGGGCAUGAGUCAUUUACUAACUUGAGGUCUCGGGGUUCAGGUCUAUGUGAUAUUGCAAUUUUGGUUGUUGACAUUAUGCAUGGGUUAGAGCAACAAACAAUAGAAUCACUAAAUCUAUUAAAAAUGAGGAAUACAGAAUUCAUUGUUGCCUUGAAUAAGGUGAGUACUUAUGUCUUACACUUUCUUGAGUGUUUUUUUUUUUUAAAAAAGGUCUUUCACACUGUUCUUGAAACAUUGCAGGUUGACAGGCUUUAUGGGUGGAAAACAUGUCGCAAUGCUCCAAUUGUUAAAGCAAUGAAGCAGCAGACUAAGGAUGUCCAAAAUGAGUUUAAUAUGAGGCUCACUCAGGUAGCAAGAUUUUUUUUUCUUCGUCAGUUGUACCAGACAAUUGUUAUUGUUUGCAACCUUAAUUUUCUUCUGUUUCAUUGCUAGAUUAUUACUGAAUUCAAAGAACAAGGGCUGAAUACCGAGUUGUAUUAUAAAAACAAAGAAAUGGGAGAAACAUUCAGCAUUGUGCCUACAAGUGCAAUAAGGUAAUUGUAAUAGCCUUGCAGCCAUAAUACUUUGCCAUCUCACCCUCCUGUUUGAAAAAAAAUAAUUUUUGAUUGGUAAUUGACUCUGGGUGGUUUUGGAGACAUAGUUGGGCUUUUGCCAUUUCUUUUGUGGUGAAAAUUGCUAUUGGAUCAAGUUCUCUGCCUCUGGUCUGAUGAAUGUUGAUGUCUCCUUUGUCAUUAAUAAAUGGAUGGGUUAUGCUUUUGAGACCUAUAUACUGCUCUUGUUCCUGCACACACCUAACAUUCCAAAGUCCAAAUGGGAUAAUACCAAGAGACACAAAUGUCUGAUUAUUAUUUUUGGGAAAAAUUUAGUGUGUGGGAUUAUGGGUAUGCAUGGGUAUUCAAUAAAAAUAUUGAAUUGUGAUUACAUACACACGAUUUUUACUAGUGCCUGAUGUAAUAUACACAAUAUUACUACAUGUGUCAUCAUUUUAGUAGAGCCCAAUUUCUAAAUCAAACAUUUUGUUGGUUUUGAACAAUUUCAGUCCAUCUGCUUUUAACAUUUUUGACACUGUUAGGAGGCAUCUUCUACUGCUUCUAAUAUUUCAGUGUGUUCCAGAACAUCUUAACUUUUUUGAAAUGUUUCAAAAUGGGUUCAAUCUGCACCCUACCUGAAAUUAUCGAAAAAAUGGUGAUUUGGUGAGGGAGAAGUGGGAGAAGACAGGUUAGGUUUAUGAAAAGGGGGGACACAUUUUUCAUAUAAUCUAUCUUUUUUAUUAGUGUUGCCUAAAACUGUUGCACAAUCUGCUUAAUGCUUUUCUUGUGAGUAAUGGUGUUGUAUUGUCUGAGUUUUUAUUUUUUGAUAUUUCAGUGGUGAAGGAAUUCCCGAUUUGUUAUUACUAUUGAUUCAAUGGACCCAAAAAACAAUGGUUGAGAAACUUACAUACAGUGAAGAAGUGCAGGUUAGCUUAUUGUUGUGUAAUAUAAAAGCUGGCUGAAUGCUGUAUGAUAAUUUAACUGUAGGGACCUAAUUGUUUGUUGAUUGUGGCCACCAGUGCACUGUUUUAGAGGUGAAGGUAGUUGAAGGCCAUGGAACUACUAUUGAUGUUGUUUUAGUUAAUGGUGUUCUUCAUGAAGGAGAACAAAUAGUUGUCUGCGGAAUGCAGGUAAGCAUCUUUAACUCUCACUGUAUCAUGAAAUUUUUAUUAGUAUCUGAUCUCUAGUUCAGCCUAAUGAAAUUUUUAAUAUAGGGUCCAAUUGUUACCACAAUUCGAGCUUUAUUGACACCUCAUCCGAUGAAGGAACUUCGUGUCAAGGUACAUCCACAUAAUUACUGUUUAUUUAUUUUGUUGUCACAUUACUGCUUGAUAAGGUGAUAGGAAAAUUAGAACUUUUCUACAUAACUCUACUAUGAAUGUCAACAAGAGUUUAUUUGGUCUGAAUUUAUUGAUUUCAACGCAAGUAUGGUUUUGGAAGGAAAAGAGGCAUUUGAAAUUUUAACAAGUUCUAGUGAUCAAUAAUCAGAGGGUGCAUUCACUUGCUAUUUGAUUUUUUUUCUCAUUCAUAUGCCAAAGAAUGGAGUGUGAUUGACAAUUCUUAAUGUAAAUAAUAUACUGGUUCAGAUGAAACCCCAGCCUGUUAGAGGGUUCUAACACUUGAACGAAUCAAUUGUUCAGCAUACUAACUAUAAGAUACUCUGCUUGAAGAACUUAGCUGACACUAACUCCUUGUUGCUAAAGUUGUGGCCUUGGUUGUCAACCUUGAGAGUUUAGGUAAAUCCAACUUGUACGCUUGACUAAUGAACUUGUAAUAGUUUACAUUCUCAAAUAGUAUUAUUUAAAAGAAAUAUCCUUUUAUUCUAAUUCCUAUAACUGUCAAACAUAACUGUAAAACAUAUCCAUAAUUAUUAUUAUUUAACAUUUCAAAUUAAUAACGGUGUAAAAGUAAUAUAAAAAAAUAUAUUAUACUUAGUUAGCACUGCACUAAUUUGUAGUUUAACAAAAAUAAACCAUAACUGUGCAUUUCGAGGCCAAAACCAUGUGUAAAUCUAGUGUAGUAGGCUAAGUUUGACAAUAAGAGAGUUUACGUGUGGUUUAUUAUGCACUAGCAUUUAUAACUCUGAAAACUGUGCUUGUAGCUGUAGCCUUUGCGGCGAGUGUAUGCAGGCAUGCCUUAGGAUAUGAAAGAGAAUGUUCGUUUUUCAAAAUGUGUCAAAAACUUUGUUGAUGAUGAAUAUAGACUUACUCAAAUUCUCAUGUUGUUACUAAAUGCAUGUAUUUGUUACUGAUUUGUCUUUGUCAAGAUAAUUUUGAGAUUUCUAUAAUCUAGAGCUAAGAAAUGUUCCAGCUAGUUGGUCAUUUUUCAUGUUGUUCUGUUCAUGUGAAUCAAUUGUUGGAAGAGGUCUUCCAUAGAAAUUUAUGGUUUUAUGUUACCAAGGCCAUGUUUGGAUUGAUGGAAAGAGAGUAAAUGGAGUGGGAUGGAAUGGACUAAUAAUAGGUUCCAUUGUUUAGAUUGUUUAAAAUAAUAUGAAAUUGAAUGGAACCUGAUGGAAUGCUUUCCAUUUCAUUCCAUAUGAGGCUUCUCUUUUUCUUACCCUUCAAUUUUGGAGGAUAUGGUAUCAUUGGUAUGGAACCUGCCUUUUUUUUAUUCAUUUCUAUUUCAACAUAAAUUAUCUGGACAAUGAAAUGGUAUUUCAUUCCAUUUUAUUCAAUUCACCAUUUGAUAUUCAAAAAUAGCCCUCUUGGAUGUGGAGUGGGUUUUGGAUGAUUAAUUUUGACAACAAAACUAAUAUCUCAUCCAUGCAUAUAUCAAUGUCAAUAAUUUGUUUAUUGUGUAAUAUGUUCUAUUAUGAGAAAUUCCAUCUAGGCAGAGGAAGUGCAUUAUUUAGUAUGUCUUGCUCAUUACAACUCAGUAAUAUAUGGUCUAAUUUCAGGGAACAUAUCUUCAUCACAAAGAAAUCAAAGCUGCAAUGGGUAUAAAAAUCACUGCCCAGGUGAUAUUGAUUGGUUCUUUUUAUGCCAUUUUUAUCCAAUUGUCUUUCUUAUGCUUAUGAAUGUCUAAGCUUUUGUUUUAUUUUGUGUUUUAUUCAGGGCCUUGAACAUGCCAUUGCCGGCACUGGUUUAUAUGUGGUGAAGCCUGAUGAUGAUUUGGAAGAUGUUAAAGAAUCAGCCAUGGAAGAUAUGCGGUCUGUCAUGAGCAGGAUUGACAGGACUGGUGAGGGUGUUUGUGUACAGGCAUCUACCCUUGGCUCCUUGGAAGCAUUACUGGAGUUUUUGAAAACUCCAGAAGUGAGUAUCCCAGUUAGUGGUAUAAGCAUAGGCCCUGUACAUAAAAAGGAUGUAAUGAAGGCCAGUGUAAUGCUUGAAAAAAAGCGAGAGUAUGCAGCUAUAUUGGCAUUUGAUGUCAAAGUUACUCCUGAGGCUAGGGAAUUGGCAGAUGAAUUGGGAGUGAAGAUAUUUAUUGCUGAUAUCAUUUAUCAUCUGUUUGACCAAUUUAAAGCUUAUAUUGACAACAUUAAGGAGGAGAAAAAGAGAGAAGCUGCUGAUGAGGCAGUCUUCCCAUGUGUUAUGAGUAUCUUACCAAAUUGCAUUUUCAACAAGAAGGACCCAAUUGUUUUGGGAGUUGAUAUCCUUGAAGGCAUUUUAAAGGUAUUAUUUUUUAUUGAUGGUUUUUUAUUUUUUAAUAUGGCUGCAAUGUCUCUGGUGAAUAACAGUUUUCUUGACACAAGGUGCUUUUGGCCAGGAGUAAAUCCUAUAGUUUUAUUUUCGUUUUGGAUCUAUUUGUUACAAAGGAAUGAGCAAUUGUCUGACUUGUUGGAAAAUGGGGAGGUGGAAAUUUUGAAAUGAAAAUUAUUUCACACUUGCUGGUUGUUAGAACAGUAAAAGUAUUGGAAGAGUGAAAGUGGAAUACUCCACCUUAUAAAUUUUGGUCACUGUUUAAUGUGGAAGUGAGCUGAAAGUGACUUUUGACCCUUUACCAAGCAACAGUUAGUAAAUUAAGACUUUUGUAUCCUCCUUGUUUUUCAUUUUCAUCAUCAUUUUUUCACCUACUCAAAUACUAAUAGCCUUAGUCUGUUGAUCACACUUGGAAGACUUUAAGCACUUGAAACUUGAGCUUAAUUUUGUUCCUAUGAUAUUAAAACAAUUGAUUUUAAAAUGGAGUGUUUAAAUUUGGAGAUCUCCACUAUUAAAAUUUUAUGUCUCUAGCUAUGACACAUUAAACUGGUGUUGUCAUAUACACUAGAAUAAACUAAAUGUAGAACUGGAAUAUUGUGCUUGAUCAUAAUUUAUCAGCUGAUUUGAUCAAAAUGCUGGAGAGCUAGAAUUUUUUGUCCAAAUGGUACUUGUUGACGCUAUUGUAUUCCAUCCAAUAAAUCAGUAAUCAUACUCAAAUUAUGUAAAUUCAGGUUUUUUUUUACUCUUACAUUGUGCUUCCCUGUUUUGAUUUUGCACUCAUGUUUUAUCAUUAUUUUUUUUUGUGUUCAUUUUAUAUAUGUUUGCCCUGAUCAAGAUGCUUUACAUAUUUUUCAGUUUUGUCUCUGUGAACCUUAUUCUCUGACCAUUUAAGAUCCUCUUUCGCUUUUGGGUUUAUGAUGUUAACAAUGGUCAUGAUGUGAAGUCAGUCUGUUGUGUGCAAUGCACACAAAUUAAUUGUUUUGAUUUCUUUAAGUUUGCUCCUAAUAUUUGUCUAUUUGAUAGAUUGGGACUCCAAUUUGCAUUCCUUCUAGAGAGUUCAUUGAUAUUGGUCGCAUUGCCUCCAUUGAGAAUAACCAUAAACCUGUUGAUUAUGCAAAGAAGGGACAGAAAGUAGCCAUUAAGGUAUGUUCUUGGACUGAAAUUAGAUCCUCUAUAAUGAACCUCUCUAAACUCAAACUUAUAUCCUUAAGUUGCACAAUGUUAUAAUCCAUUUAUAUCCUUAAAUGAUUUAAGCAAUAGUUUUAUUACAUUGACAAAAUGUCAUAAUCCAUUUAUAUAAUUUUCUAGUUGCUUUGUGUAUUCUUGGUGGCAAUCUUACCCAAUUUGUUUUACAGAUUGUUGGCAGCAAUUCUGAAGAGCAACAAAAAAUGUUCGGGAGGCAUUUUGAGAUUGAUGAUGAACUUGUAAGCCAUAUUUCACGGAGAUCUAUUGAUAUACUCAAAACUAAUUAUCGGGUAAGUUUAUGGUGAUAAGCAUCAUGAGCAACGUGUGUUUAACUGUUUAUGGAUUUAGUUGAAAAUUUGUCUUAAGUUAUAUCUGUUGUUUGAUAUAGGAUGAACUAAAUAUGGAGGAGUGGAGGUUGGUUGUGAAAUUGAAGAAUCUUUUCAAGAUACAAUGACGAGACUUAUGUGUGGGCAUUCAUUUCAGAAAAAAAAAGGUUUUAGUGAAUUUUUGGUUUUAUGCAACACUUUGAAGGAUUUGUUGAGGAUGCUGUUGAAUCCACCACGGGAGACCAUUAAAGAUGAUGCAAUGAUUCAGAUAGAGAUGUCUGUGCCAUGGAGAGGCAAAAGUAAAUUACACAGACGAAACUCCAAUUCUUUGCCAGGUGAGAAGCUCGGGUCAAAAGGGUGCGGAAAAACUGGCAAGGUCCAAAUUUUGUGAAUUACUACCAUUUAUAUACAUAUCUGUGGUAUACAUGGAAGGAAAUAAGGGUUCUAAAUGCAAUUCAGUGAGGAAAAGCAAAUUUUUACGGAAGUAAUUGAUUUGACCAAAACAUUGUUCACUUUUGAUUUCCGAAUUUACUAUUGUACAAAAUUUUUCCAUUUGUGGCUGAAAGGCACUUUAUUUUCCGAUGUAUCCUUUUGGUGUUUCCUACCAAGCAUUUGGUUAUGGAAACUGGUAUUAAUGGCAAAGGUUCAACUAAGCCACGUGGAACCUGAAUUUUUUGUUUUUAUAUUAUAGGACUAACAAAGGUUAGAGUAGGCUUUAAAACUUGGCCUAGAAAAGAGAAAAAAAAAAUGAAUUUAACAGUGGAAUGCCAAAAUAAAAUUUUGUUGUGCGUGUUCGAUACUGAAUUAGUAGUAGAAAAAAAUAUAGCUAAUAAGUGACUAAACAUUUGUAUUUAGUAUUAUUUAAAAAAUAUAAAUAAAUAAACUUAUCAUUUUUUAGAAUAUCUGUUAUUAAAUAAAAUUAUAUUAAAAUUGAGUAAAAAUAUUAACUAUAUCUUUAAUUGAGCAGAUAUUAUCUCUUUAAAGAUAUUAGGCAUAUUAGAAUUCAUUAUCACGAUUUAUUUUUUCUUUUGAGUAACAAUAGUGAUAUAAUUUAUAUUAAAAUACAUAAAUUCAAAAGAGAAAUAGCAAAUGUAAAUUUAUCAUUAAAAUAAAAAUUUAUUAAAAAAUAAAAUAAUUAUUAAUUUAUAAUUUAAUAUAAACAAUUGUAAAUGAAAUUUUUAAUUCAUAUGUGUAGUUUUUUUUUAUAUAAAAUUAAGCAUAUUAAUUUCUAAUUUUUUAUGAGGUUAUUAUUAAAAAAUAUCAAAUUUAUAAAUCAAAUAUUUUCUUAUAAAUUAUUUAUUUCAUAUUUAUUAAGAGAAAAACAGAAAAAUAUAAAAUAAUUAAUCUAACUCAAAUUAUUAAAGAUAUUAUUAAUUUAAUUUUAUAGCACAUAAUUAUAAUAAUGGUUUUGAAGAAAUAAUCAUAAGAAUAUUGUGACUAAUUUUAUACUUGUAUAAUUUUUCACUUAUUAUCAAUAUGAAGUAAGGGAGAAAAAAUAUAAUAAAAUAUAUAUUUUCAUUUUAUUUUUAAGUCUAUUUUUUCUAUAUGAAAAGUAUAAAUUUAAAAAUAUAGUUUUUUGAUACGAAAUUUAAGAAUAUAUGAAUACAUAAUAUAAUAUAAUUAUUAAAUUUCACUGUUUAUUUCAUUUAUUGUUGAUACAGCAUCACAAAUCGAUUCGAGAUAUCUCAAAAUUACAUAUUUAAGAUAAUUAAGAGCUUUUUAUACCGCGAGUUUUGUUGUUAUUUUUAUAAGCAAAGAUAAGUUAAUUUAGAAGGGAGUACAGGGGUACUCCAAACUCACUUUUCAAAGAAAGGCCAAUCAGGCUUUUACAUUUGAGAAAAUACAAGACAAGAUAUCUAUACACCAGUAAAAAAUAAAACAAGACAGCUCCUCUUUUAUCCCCACUAGCAAAUGAAUGUCAAGAACAAACUUUGAAAUCUAAAGUUUUGUUUAGAUCCAAAAGUUUUAAUUAGAUCAUCAAUAUAAUUCAACUUUGAUGAAGCCGUUCAAGGGUGUAAAGUUCUUUCAAUGUCUAUUUUUUUUUUCUGAAAAGAUUCAGACUUUGAAAUCUUAUUUAAAAAAAGAAAAAAAACUAAACUCUUUGUUACUUAGACUAACAGUGUUGUCGAUAUUUAAGCACCACAAACACACAAAUUCUCAUAUAAAUCAUUUAAAUAUGUAAUUUUGAGAUUUACGUUGAUAUAAAGAUAUACAAAUUAAUUAUCUUAUGAUUUUUGUCCUUUUUUUUGUGUGUAAACAAAACAUGCAUGUUAUCCUUUAAAGGAGGGCUCGUACACUGUUUUGAUUAUUAACUGUAUAUAUCUCCUCCACUCACUUUAUCUUCCAAAAGCCCUUGAUAUUUUUAUACAAAAUAAAAAUACAAGUAUAAAAGGUUCAAAUAGACCUAAUGCUAGCUGAUUACCAAGCCAACUUUCUUAUAUCCACGUCUCACCCCACCAUUUAUUGUGAAAAACAAAAAUGAGGCGACCCUGCAAGAGAGAUGAUAAACCUUUUUUUGUCCUAAGAUUCAUAACGGGUUCCAAUGCUGGUAACAUCCAAAAAAGAAAAGACGAUAAAAGGACAUAUAUAGAAUACACUUAAUUGACAUAGGGAUCAAGAUCAAGCUAAAGACCACUUGACCCAAUUAACUUGGUUAGCCCAAAAGUAAUAGCCAUGGCUAGCCAACCCCCAAGCAAGACUCUCACAAUAGACCUAAAUGUUGGAGCCUUACCCAACACUGCCCCCAACCAACCAAACACCACAAGAGCUAAACUCACUGCUCCCAAAACCACACCUAGCCUCACCUUAUAGUCCCUUAUGAAAGAGGCUGCAAGGAGAGGCACCAUUGCACCAACUGAAAAUGCAAGAGCUGAUGCUGCUGCAGCAUGCAUAGGGUUUGGCAAUUUCUCUUUCUCAUCACCAUCAUCAUCUUCCUGAUCUUGAUCUAUACUGUCCCUUUCUUUCUCUCUUUUCAUUUGAGCAACUUCUAUGUCCAAUUGCGAAUACACCGACACAAACUCACCUAUGGCCAUGCUGCAUGCCCCAGCAACUAGCCCUGCAAACCCUGUUAGGAUCAUAACUUUGAUGUCUUGCUUCACUGCUCCCACACCCAUCAUUAGUGAUGCUGUUGAGACCAACCCAUCAUUGGCUCCUAAAACAGCAGCACGUAGCCAUUGAGAUCGCUUUGAGUAGUCAAAGUCCUUCGUUUCAACCUCUAGGGCUUCUUGUGCUCAAGGUCAUUGUUUGGAUGGACAAAUUUGGGUUGGUUGAGGGAUGAGUGAUCUAAUGCCAUGAUAAAAAGGGUGAACGUGUGCUUGAGGAAGAGAUAUCUAAUGGAGGAUGUGAACAACACACGCUAACUAAGAAGGGUAUUUAUUGAUGAAAAUUGCUUAUCUUUGGAGGCAACGGUGUGGGGGCAACCCCACUAAUCAAAAGACAAAUUUUAUAUUCACCAAAUGCAUACGGAAAUUAGUAUGUAUAUAGAGGUUUAAAGUAAAUUAAGCUAAAGUUAGUCCAACUGAUAAGGACUGAUCUCAUAUAUAUCUCACGAAUUUAAAUUCUAUUGUUGAUGUAAAAAGUAAUAGUUAAAUAUUUUUUUGUAAGCAUUGUUUUAAAAGUCUAUUCUAACUUUAGUGAGCUUCUAGGAAUACCAGUUCAAUAAAUUAACCUAAACUUUUUUCACCAAGAGAAUAGUAAAUUAAUUUUGCCUCAUUUAUUAAAUAAUGUAUGAAAAAGAGGGGAAUGAUUGAGGAAGUGUGUCCUGCAAUGGUGACAUUGUUUAAAGUAUGCUAAUGUAACUUUUUUGGGGUGGUCAAAUACGAAAUAAUGUUGUUUUGAAUGUGCAGUCAAGCUGUGUGUAUGUUUUUGCAACUUAUUGAGCCUUUAGAGCCUUAUAGCUUUAAUUAUAGUCAUUAUGAAUUAUGGAAAAGAGAUGUUAUUAUUAGUAAUUGGUUGGUUUUAAUACGUAGUUUAUACAUUCUACACAAAUCCCAUGAUAAUUUUUGUUGUAACUUGGGUUGUAUAAAAUUUGUUUUGGCGGAUAUAAUAAGCAAAUAAAAACAUUACAAAGCAGUCAAAAGCUUUUUGGGUCAUGCCUUGUUGAAGAGAGUCAAUUAGCUAGAUGUGAUGUUAUUCUUCAAUAUACAUUUCAAAAGUUGGAAAAGUAACCAGAUAUAAAAUUUAUAAAAGGAGUUAUCAUGAUUGACAUCCACCAAAUGAAUAUGAACAUUAACCACUUGUACACAUUUGACAGACACACCUAAUGAAGUGGCAGAAAAAUAUUCAUGAAAUUAAUGUAAUAUCACUGCUUUUUUCACCAAAAAGAAGAUAAAGUACCUCUUUCAGAGAUUUCCGAAAUUAUAUCCGUUGAUAAGAUAAAAAGCUAAUAGCAUUUUAGAAUUUAAAUAAUUGAAUCAUAGAAGUGAUAGAAUGAAUAAUUAAUAGAGACCAUCAUAUAUAGAAUUAAAAAAACAUCUAGCAUAAAAACAGCAAUCAAAAUGGGAUGUACACUUGAAGGAAGUUAUACCCGAUCACCAGAAGCUCAUGAGUAUAGUAUGACUCAGAUAAAGGACAAAACGUAAAGAUAACCAAAAUGAUUUUGCUUUUUUUCACACGCUAAAAGAAGAGGGAAAAGCAUAUUAUUGAGGCACCUUUGUUCCUUCAGUUAUAACACUGGGUCUAGUACCACACAAAGAGUUUUGUAUUGCAUUGAAAAACCGAUGAAAGCUAUAUGUGUGCAUCAAAUUUAUUUAAAUUCUUUACGUAUAGUUUCUUUGUAGUUGAUAUAAAAAGGCGAAGGUCAUUUUCUGAGUUUCAGCUGUAAGGAUAUGUGGUAUAUAAGUCGCUUCUAAAUCAUAAGCACUAGAAUUUGCUGGCUAACAGAAUGUAUAGCUUAUAAAAUAAAAAAGAAAAAUCCCGGUAUAUAUAGAAAUGAUUCAACUAAAUAUGCAUAAUACAACUUAUCACGUGUGUUGAAACCAUGCAUGGACCAAUAUCCCUUUGCAAAAAUAUGGCGUUAAAAGGUGGCUAUUAAAAAAAAUGUAAAAACAUUGCCAGCAUAUAUAUAUAGUAGCUCAUUUUUUAUCAGAGAGUAAUUGUUUUUCCAAUUAAAAUCACACGUAAACUUUAUAGAGUGGAGGAGGCAGUGAAGAUCUUGAUGCUAAUAAAUUGUUGCAGCUUGUGCUAUAUUAGGGAAUGUGAACCAUGCUAAUUAGUUAGCUAAAUUUAUAAUUGAUAUAACAUUUCAUGUGUUAGAACCAAGCUAAAAAAUGCAGCUCAAACCAAUAUGGCACACAGUUUAUGCAUGACUUGGGUUUGGGAUUGAAAUUUCUGAUUAUUAUAUCCAAUUUAACUUCCUUUUAAGAAGGAAAAAAUAGCAUCCAACUCGACAUCUUUUUUUGGCCGGCAUGCUGUGACAUGGUCUAUUUGGAUCAUCUGUAACAAUAGUGUUUCAGGGAAUUCCUUUUGCCUUCAAUGGUGUUUUGGAUUUGAUAAGUAGUAGAUUAUGAACAUCUUUCUUUGGCAUGCAGUGGCAAGGUCUAUUUAGAUCACGUGUAACAAUGUUGUGUUUCAGGGAAUUCUUUUUGCCUUCAACGUUAACGGUGUUUUGGACUUGAUAAAUAGUAGAUCAUGGACAUGGUUUAAUGCCAAAAUAGACAAUGCUCAAUGUACUUUCUCUGAUUUGGUGUACUGAUUUUGUAUCUUGUUUUUAUUUAUGUCUCCAAUUUGGCCUUGCUAGAUUAAUGUUCUCUAGUUAGAGUACCUAUUACUCUCUUAAUAAAUUUUUGCUUGUAUAUAAAAAAUGACACUGGAUCAGGUUUGGACCACCUAGAAUAUAACCUAAGUUUUUCCUCAAAAUACACCGAUUCUAAUUUCUUAAAUAUAUUCUCAUCAAAAGUGAUUUUUAAUAAAAUUGAGUUAAUGAAAAGAGACAUAUCAGCACUCCUACUGAAAUGAAAUAUUUUCAAAGAAAACUGAAAACAAAACAGCUAAAAGAUAAGGUAUAUUCUCCUCCAAUUUGGGUAGAUACCACAUAACAGUUCGUACCAUAAUACCAAUCCUUUAGCAUAGAAUAUCACGCAUGUCGAGUUGUUUAUAAUUAGGUAAGAAGAUUUAGUCUAGAAUUAUCAACAAUUUCAAGAGACGAAGUCCUAUAUAGCAUAUACUAGAAAAGAUUUUCAACAAGAUUUUAAUUGAAUUGCAAAUUGAAGUAGCAAUUGCAGUUGUCAUUAGGAUUUUGCAGCUACCACUACUGCAUUUUAUUUUUGUUUUUGGACCAAACGACAGUAUUUGGUCACAUUUGUCUGCAAUCUCAGCGACAGCAAACACAACUAAAUCUUUGCCUAAUUGAAAAUGCAAUUUAUUUAAAACCCAGAUGCUUAUAUAUUUCAAAUAUAAUCAAAAUGAAUGUAUGAUGUUAUAUAUGGCAACGAAACAAAGUAUUGGGCUUUAUCAGCGUAAUAUUAUACUUAGGUAACACGAACAAAAUGAAAUAUGUAUAUAUAUAUAUAUAUAUAUAUGUGUGUGUGUAUAAAUUUUAAAAAUAGAGUAGAAUAAAAUAACAAGUAAUUAAAAUUAUUCUACAUUUUAAUUCUACUGAAAACAGUAAGAUUAUAUUAAAAAGAGCAUAAUAUAACAAGGUAUUUUUUCCGUCCUAUUGAUGUAUCAAAUAUUACUUUAUGGUUCACGAAGCAGUUGAUGACAAGUGGCGCUUUAUUUCAUGAAAAGAAAAGGAGAAAAACAAGUAUGCACGGGAGUUUUUAGUGUGGAAAUAUAUUUUUAGCUUCAACAGUAAUAAUCAAUUACUACAUUUAGCAUGUUCAUCAUUUUUCAUGUUACUAUGGCAAUAAAGCUCAAAGGAAUUUUUUACUCAAACCUUCAGAACUUGAUUAUUUACCAGGUUUAAUUAUUAUAAUUUGUCAUCAUAUCCUAACUUGAGAAACAGAUUGGUAAAUGCAGAAUGAAAAGGCUCAAGAAAGAGCAAAGGAAGAGUGGAUUGCUGAAGAGGAAAGCACUAAUUGCUGUGAUAAAAAGGAAGAGAAGGGAAUUGGAUAAUUUAUAUAAUGGAACAGAUCAUGAGUGUACAUCCUACUCGAAGACCACCAUAUAUAUUGUGCAUUAUUCUCCUGUUCCAAUCAGAGACAGAAACUAGCUGAGUCUUCAUUGUUUGCUCUCCAACAACCUAAAUGCAUUAUUAUUGGCUCACCAACUUGGUUCAUGGAUGAGGGGGAAAAAAUCAAACAAGGUCCACAACACUUUGUCUCGUUAAAGCCCAAUAUACUAAAGUAGGUCUCAGCAAAAAAAAAGGUGGCUACUACUACUUCAAUAGUGACAUCCAUUAACAAAUUGGCGUGGUUCAGUUGAAUUCCUGUCGAAGAAUGGAUUCAAGAUUUUUGGUUAUCUAUGACGAUUCGUUUUCAGCAACUAACUAAUUAAUGAAUUCGGUAACUCCCUAUAGCUUUAUCAUUAAUUUAUUAUUAUUUCUGUAUUAACAAACAGUUCUUCAAACGUAUAUCAACAUAAAAUGUUUGUUGACAAGACAGUAUUUCGUGUUAAUUAAAAUUGUGUUGUGAAUUUAAGUAGAUUUUUUUUUGGAUAUAUCAAAAUAUGUGAAUUAAGUAGAUGAAACACAUAACUAGAUAACAUUGAACUACAGUAUAAGAUUUAUCAAUCACAAUAACAACAAAUAGCUUCUUUUUUUUUGGAGUCAUAUCAUGUCAUUGAUGGAAAGCAUCCAUCAAUUUAACUUAAUAAUUAAUUCUCGUAAAAAAAAAACUUGAUUGAUCAUCUAUAUAGUAAAAUAUGUUCUUCUAAUUUUAUUUUUUAUGAUUAUUUACAAAUCUUGAAUUUAAGAAGUUAUUUAUGAAAUUUAAACUUAGUUUCAUUCGAAAUAAUAAUAUAUUGGUAUAACAGUGAAUUCGUGACAAAAUAGAUAAAAGAAAUAUUUAGAAAUUGAAACAAAAGAUGCAUGUAGGUAAAAUAAAAUUGCAAUUUUCAUCUAAUUAAAUACUUGCUUACAAUUGCCUUAAAACCAUUUGAGUUUGUCUGUUCCUAAAACCAUUUUUGUCAACCAACUUAAGAAUAAUAUUAUGUUUUGUUCUGGUCAAAGAAACGACGUAAACAUGAUUAGCAUUCCAACUAUUUUAAAGGUUAAAUUAAAGCUUAGAUAAAACUAAAGGAAAAAAAGCUAAAAUAAAGACAAUGUGUGUGUGGGUCAAUCUAAAAAAUGAAGAGAAUGUGAUGGUGAAAGAAGAUAGUAGUUAAAUUUCGAAAUUCCAUGAAUAACUUGUUAAAUUCCAAUUGGAACUCUCUUUCUAAUUUGUUUCAAUAAAAGGACCCUAGCUGCACCUUUCAAAUGACAAUCGUGCAUCUAAAGUUUAAGAUUCCUUUCCUUUCUUAGUAGUCGAAAAGAAACCUAAGGCUAUGUUUGGAUUAAUGGAAAGGGAUGGCAUGGAGAGGGAUGGGAUGGAUUAAUUUUAAUGAGCAUUGUUUGGAUUCAGAAAUAAAGAAUGGAAUGGAGUGGAUCGUAAUAUAACUCAUUCCACCCGAUUCCAUUGUUUUUAGCCUUUUAUUUCUUACCUCCCAAAUAGGGUUUGGGAGUACGUGAUGGAAUGGAUCUUACUCUAUCUCUUUUUAUUAUGAAUUUACUAUGUUAUCCUUUUUAACUUCUUCACCGCCAAUGCCCCAAUGUUGAUGUAUGCGACUAACCAGAUAUCUGAACACGUAAAAUCUCGUGAAUAGUACCUCAACGAAGCACUCCUAAAUCAUGUUCAUCAUCUUCUGUUGCCAGAUUUGCCAAAGAAACCUACCGAAAAUGUGACUCAUCCCUCAUGCAAAAGCCCAUUUACCAACUUUCCACCACCUGAUGCAAACAUGGUGAUAUGAGAUCUAAGGAGUCCGAAGGAUUUCUAUAAGAUUAUCACCUUAUAAAUGACACUUAUAUAUCAAAUACAUAACACUCUAUCCUUCAAAAAGUUUUUUCAAAGAAAGUGGAUAGAAUCAUAGAAAGAAAAGAUUUGUAUCAACAGAAAAGAGUACAAAUUGAUUCCAAGGCUAUUAUUUAUAAAAUAAAAUCACCUUAUAAUAAGGGUAAUAUGAAAAUUGGGAAAUUAUAAUUUAUUCUACUUCAUUCUUUUUCCAAAUGAUGAGAUGUGAAAUAUUUGUUCCAUUCUAAUAUAAAUUAUCCAAACAAUGGAAUGGUAUUUUUAACCUAUCUCAUUCUAAUUCAUCCUGUUCCAUUAUAUUUUGAUUCAUUCUGCUUCAUCCUUUAUCACAAAUCCAAACAUAACCUAAUUAUAGAAAUAGACACAGCUGCGUGCAUGAAACACUACGUAAGUGUUAAUAUAUAUACAUACGUGUGUGUGUGUUUAUUUAUCAAAAUGAAAAGUGAUUGAGGUUUUCAAGAGCAUUGCCCUAGAUCGUUGAUUUAAAUAUAGCCCGUAUACGGCCAUACGGCCACAUCUUCUAAUUUUUGGGCGUUCAAAGAAAUUAAUUAACAUCCUCAAGAAUGGAAAUGGAACCGUAAUUGUCCAACUCUUUUAAAAGAAUCAAAAGUUAGAUAAGAAAAGCUCAAAACGAUAAAAAGAUAAAGAGAAUAUGAUGGUGAGAGAUGAAAAUGAAACAUCCCUAGCUCGUUGAAAAGAAAAUUGAUUUGUUUUAUAAAUUCCAUGCAGCACACUACUGAUAUUAAAUAUGAUUUACAUGAUUAAAUUACAAGAAAAAUAGAAAUUAAUUAACUUAAUAGGAUAUUGAUGAUUAAUCUAGCUAUAAUAUGCCCAUUAAAUUUUGUGCGUUUUUUCCGGCUUCCUCUUAGUAGAGGAAUUAACUUUCAAUUUUUAGUGUAUUUGAUAAAUAAUUCAAAGCUUUCUAUUUUUUCUUAAGAAAAAGGCUGAGAGCUUUUUCAAUAGAGCAACCAUGAUAGAAUUACUCAACUCAUUUUCAAUAGAGCUGACCACGUAGAAUAGCAUAACAUUUUGUUGAUGCGGCGGGUUGCAAAGUCCUACCAGAACCGACAAAUAUUUGUUGGUAACACCUUAGAUACGCUAUCAUUUAUAUCUUGUCUGGUGGAUUGAAUCCUAGCCUAAUAUGCAUUCCACGUUGAACCAAAUUAGGUCUUUCAAUUUCAGCAUAGUCCAACUUCAAGAGAGGAUGAAGACUAUCACUAAUGGAUUCAACCCAAAAGUCACUUUGUUUGGAGAAGAUGCACGUACAACAUUCAAUCAAUAGGACCGGAUUAGAUAUAUAUAAACAGAUUUAUAAAAGUACACCCAACUGUUUUUUUAGUUUGAAUAUGUUAGCAAAUUAUUUUUUUGAUGUUAUUAUGUAAACAAAUUAUAAGUAAAGAUUAUAUUUUGUUGGUAAAUAAAAUAACUAGAUAUUAUUUUAAAAUACAUAAAGAGAUUUAUUAAUGUAUAUUCACUUUUUUUAAUACAUUAAUAAAUUAUUACUAGAAAUCAUCUUAAAAUAUAUUUACAGUAUAACUUGCUAUCCAAGGACAGAGCCUUAAAUUUCAUUUGAAGAGAGCCAAGAAAAAAAUGCAUAAUUUAAUAAAAAAAAAUAUUUUUUCAUAUACAUAAAAUAUACAAAAAAGUUUCAUAUAUUAUAUAUCUAAUAUUUAUGAUUUUUUUAAACGUGUGUGUAACUAAUGACUAUAAAUAAAAAAUAUAUAACUAUCACAAACACUCAAUUAAUGACUAAUUUUUUUAUCUAGCUUUUUUCACCGCAUCAUGUUACCUAUUAUAUUUAUUUACACUUUCGUCUCUCCUUCCCUAUGUAUCAACUAAAAAAAUAAUAUAAUAUUAUAUAUUACAAAUUAAUAUUUUUAUUAAAAUAAUAUUAUUUAUAAACAUGUUUUUUACUAGGUUUUUUAGAAGUUCAAAGCUUUACUUACUAAACUAAAAAUGUUUUUUCUUUAAAUAAAACUUAGUCUACCUCUUUUUUCUAAAUAGGCUAGGCCCAAAUAAGCUUUAAAUGAAAACACAACAACAAUAUUAUGAAUAUAAAAAAAUGCAAAAAACAGGGACUAAAUCUAUAUGUUUUUUAGAAUUUAAGAUCAAAUUUAUUGUUGUGAAAAUAUAAGAAUUUUGAUCGUUUGACUUGAAUGUAAUGAUUAAAAACAUAUUUUUUGAAGAAAAAAAUAUUUUUCCAUAAUAAUAAUAUUAAAAAUAUCAGUCGUUACUUUUAGUUAACGAUUACAAUUUCAUAUUUUAUCAUAUCUAAAGUGCAUGAGUGCAUAGUGUUAUUAUUUUAUAAUAUUUGGUUUUGAUUUGACUGUAUUGUGAUGGGUUUCCUUGACAUAAACUCAUUUUUUUGGUAGUGCCUUAACUCAAUCUCAUAUACUAAUAUGUCAAAUUUAAAUGAUGACUACCGUCUAAUUGACACAGACAAAUAGUUACAUAAUUUGAACCAAAAUAUCCAAAUGACUAAAAUAUCAAUUUUAAGUGCUUAGUUUAACUAUGACAUAUUGAGUUUAAAAGCUUUUGCACUCUUAAUCACGGAUUGACAAAAUCAUUUGUCAAGCAUGUUUAAGUAAUCGUAUUAAAGGUGUCAUAUCAUAUCACUUUAUCAGUGAGUUAAAAUUAAGCAUAUAUACCUCAUUUUGCCCAUUUGGCACUACUUGUGCUUUAAUUUCAAUAAAUAUGAUUUGCACCGUGCUAGUUACUUAUGGAAGGGAAAUAUACUACACGAGUUGGGCUGCUCAGGUUGAGUUUCUACGCACUGCAAUAGUUCUCUCAAGAUGAAAAUGCUCCACACAUCGGAAAUGAUGAGUUUCCCUUGUGUAUAAGAGUUCUUAUACACAAUUGAAACCUGUUUCUGUUGUAUUAGUAGGAGGCGUGAAUUCAAAAAUAUACAACGGAAAUGAAUUCAAAAAAUAACACAAUGAAAAUAAGUUUCUAUAUUAAGUUUUUUUUAAUUCUUUUUUCUUAAAAAUAUUCAUACAACAGAAACAUCCGUUGUGUUAAUUUUAGUCAAUGAAACAUGUUUCCACCGGAGGUAUUUUUAGCUAAAUACCAAAAGAUAUUAUUUUCUUUUUACUGGUUUGGGAAUUUAAAUAGCAAUACAGAGGUUGCCAAUAGCAUAUCUGAUCCCUUCUCAAGUGCGUGGGGGUGGCAAUGGCACUUGAAGCCUUAGAAUGGGCUUACGUACGGAGAAAAUGGGUUUUUCGUUUUCCUUGGAUACAUACAAGACUAUAAAGAAGUCACCAGAUCCAAUCUGAAAAAGAAACGCAAUAAUGAAAAUAAGAAAAAGAUUGACACAGUUUCAUAACUAUCUUUUCAUGGAACAAGAGAUCUUAAAUUAAGAGGUCACUUCUCUCAGGAAGAUCAUGUUGGAAUCUCCCAACUUUAUUCUCUCAAGUUGAGAAAAUUAUCUGUCAUCUCUCAUUCUCCUUAUUGACAAUAGCCAAGAUUAUACGUAGUAUUUAUGCAGCACUAUUGCAUAAUAAUGACUGCGUUUUGUGUUCUUUAACGAGUACAGACUCGUUGGAUCACCAUAUUCAAGGCCAUAACGUUUUGAAUCUCUGUCAUCCCUCUCUGUUGUCAUCAUUUGAAGUCAUCAAACCUAUACUUGUUAAUAUCUAUCCAAUGGUUGGUGUGACGUUUGGUUAGCUUUGUACAACACUGGUUGUGUUCAGUUGCUGCUAGUGAAGUUGGCUUAAGAGGUGAGUGAUGAGAGCUUCUAACCUAGAGCUAGCAGUGAGUGUGUGAGAAGAGUGAUUGUUGAAAAAAAUGAGGUGCCAUAUAACUAUAUAAGUGUGUGUUGGCUGUGAGUGAAAAAGACAACUAUUAGCCAGAUACCAUGUGGUGUGUGUAUAUAUUUGGAGAUACAUAAGCCUAGUCUAGUGGCCAAGGAAGAAGAAAAAUGAAGAGAUAUUAUGUCUUUCAAUUUUUUCACUAACAAAAAUUAAUAUUAUUACUGAUUAAAAUUUACCGAUGAAAAACAACUCUGUGGUGUGUGCUGGAGAUAAAAAAAAAAAAAAAGUCAUUAUCUGGACAUGAUAUUAAACACUAAUGCUGCCAGUAAAAUAGUCAAGCAUGAAAACACCAAGUCACGUGGCCUUUAAUUGGCUCAAAAUAGAAUCAAAGAGCUCUCUAUUGCCUUUUGUUUUUUGUUGUUUGUAAUUUUUAAUUUUUAUAAAAAAAAGGUAAAUAAAGUAAAAGAAAUAUUUUUAAUUUUUAAUUCUUUUUAAUUGAUACAAAAGGGAAACGUUCAUUGAAGCAAAUAAAAAAAGGUUUUAAUCAUUUUUUUCAUUCAAGAAAUUAAAUAAAGAUCAAGUGAUAUAAAAAGAGUCAAAUUGGACGUUCACAUUUUUUUUUUGUUUUGAAUGUAAAUAUUUUUUUCCUUUCCUUGAAAUAAUUUUGUUGUUGUAUUUUAUAUAUAGAUUUUCUUCUUUUUAUAUUUUUAUCAUAGACGAAAUUGAGUAAUAGUAAAAAUAAAAAAUAUUUAAUUUUUUUCUCCCUCUUCAUUUAUUGUGGAAUAUUAAUUACUACCCUCUUUUUUCUUAAUCCGACAUCCUGUACGAUUGAACACAUUUUAGACCACACCCUAAUUAACAUAAGUUGCUAGACAAAAUAUUUUUUGUUUUUCAUUUUAAUAUUAUAUAAUUUUUACAAUUCUACUAAUUUAAGUAACUAAAAAGUCAUAAAAAAUAUAUGUAGAAUCAUAAAAAAAGUAACUAAAAAAAAUCCAAUCCUGCAACUCUACAAAGUUGUUUAAAUGGACCCCACAAUUUCUAAAACGUACCUGUUGUUUGGUUGAGCAAUCCACUGUAUUGUUUUUUCAGUUUCUCUUUACAACUGGUAUAUAAGUUACUACAUGAGUUGCUAAUUUAAAAUAGACUAAAUUUUAAUUUUUAUCACUAUCUUUAAUUAUUUUAUGUGAUUUUAGUUUCCAAUUUUUUUUAAAAUUCAUAGUUUUAAUCAAGUUUUCAACUACAUAUUACUGAUGUACACGUUGAUUCAUGAUGUCAGUAUCGUGAUGCGGUAGAAGUUAACAUUUAAUAGUUAGAAAAUAAUUUAAUUAAUUAAAAUGUAAAAAAAAAAGAGUCAUAAUUAAUAACAUAAUAAUAGCUUAUUUUUUUCAUUAAUGACCAUUUAUUUUUUAUGAGUAAACCAUUAAUGACCAUUUAUUCAAAAAAGAGGAUAUAAAAUUUAAUUAAAUAGACAUCUUUAAUUUUUUGAUGUUUUAACGUGCCAAUAAAUACACAAGAUGAAAGCAUUAAUUCCACUCCUUUAAAUAUUUUAUAAAAUCAGCAUUUAAACCUAUAAUUUAUCUUUUAUUUCCAUUUAUCCGUUACAUUUAAUUAUAAUUUGACCUUUUCAAUUAUGAUAAUUUGAUUGUUAGAAAAAAUAAUGACUUAAUAAAGAAGUCACUAUUUUUACUUAUUUAAAUAUGCUAUAAAAAAUAAAAAUUGAUAUUUUAAUCUAUUAAUUUGAUUUUUCAAUUACAAUAAAUUUAUACCGUUGCAAAAACAAAAUAAAAAGCUUGAUAAAAAAGUUAAAUUGAAACAAAAAAGGCAAAUAACCAAAAUAUGGUAAAAAUUUAAAAACAAUCAAAUUAUUUCUAAACAUUUCAAAUUAUUAAAAGAAGCAAUUUUAAACUAUGAUUUAAUAUAUUUUUUUAUUUUUUUUUUAUUUUACUUUUGUCUCUUCUUGUGAUAGACACCCGUUAACUAUUGCUUUUUAAGAACGUACUUGAAGUUGAACAGUACUUCAGUAGUAAACAGUUCAACUUCGGUUUUUGUUCUGAUAUCUCAUCUAAUCUCAACUAAAAUCCAAAUAUCCAAUCCCCAUAAAACAGAUUUUUAUUAUUUUCCACCAAUGGAUCCUGGCUUCGCCGGAGCACCGCCGGGCACGGCGGUGUUCGAUCAGAUUCUGGCCGAGGAACCAGAUAGCUCGUUGCUUCACCGGAACACCUUCUCCGGCGACUCCUUCUCUAUCCCCGACACCUUCGAGGACGUUCUAAACUUUGAUUUAGAACAGUUUGAUUUUGACAUACUAAACUCCCCACCACCGUCGCCGACGCUUCCGCCGACCGUCACCGUUGAUUCAGCUUCCUCCGUGGAAUUAAAAGCGCAGGCCUCGGAGGUCGGCCCGGUAGGGCCCACUGCGGGACUCGACCUCGGCGGAGAGAGGAAGGGGAAGCGGCGUCUCCGGAACAGCUAUACCGUUGGGGCGUAUGGGCCACUGGUAUCUCGGGGGAAGAGGACCAUGAACUCUGAGGAACUUGCUGAACUUGCUAGGGUUGAUCCCAAGAGGGUUAAGAGGUGGUGUUAAUUACAUUUUCAUUUUAAUUAUUUUUUCAAUAAAAUAAUUUAAAAGACUUAACAUGGUAAUUUUAUAAAAUAAAAUAUGAAAUUUACAUAUAAAACUGUUUAAUUUUUCUUAUUUAUAAUCAUUAAUCUUUUAUGUUAAUAAAUUAUCACUAUUUAUUUAUUUUAAAUAUUACAGUUAAAAAUAAUGAAAAUAUAAUAAUUAUUUUUUUUGGAAGUAAUUAAGACCUUUGUUUGAUUGAUUUUUUGAGUGGUAUUUUGUAGACACCCAUCUUCGUCGAACCUCUCGAUCCUCUUCAGCCAAAUUCCUAUAUAUGCAAAUAAUGUUCUGCAACAUCACUUGUUAAAAAUGAAAAGUAUUAAUGAAUAAAAUAGGUUUCGUUUUCAAGGAAAAAGAGUUAGACCAAAUAUUACUUUAAUUAAAUUGGUCUGAAUAAGUUUUUUACUCAUGUGUGGGUGCAUCUGCGCAGCAAAAGUAUUGUAGUCGACCAAAUGGAACACAUGUUUGAGAUUGCUCUUCAAGAAAUAAUACUUCCUUCGUUACUUUUUAUAAGAAAAAAAAUUAAAAUAUAAAUAAAAUUCAACUACUUUUAUCUUAUUAAAUAAGAUUAUAUUUAAAAUAUUUUUCAUUUAAUGGAAGAAUUGUGUUUAAUAUCAAAUUCUAAUGAAAAAUAGUUUAAAAAUAUUAUUAUUUUUAAUUGGGAAUAACACAAUAUAAUGAAAUAAAUUAAUUUUUUAAUAAGUAUGAAAUAACUUAUUUUUUUAUUAUAAAAGAGAUAGAAGGAAAUAGUUUUUAAAAAAAUCAUUUUAUCAUAUGCACUUGGGAAAUAAGUCUUCGGGGUGUGGUGUUCUCAGUGAUAUAAGUUGAAUUGUUUUGUUCUGUAGGAUUCUUUGCAAUAGAAAAUCUGCUGCUAAAUCAAAGGAAAGGAGAGUGAUUUAUGAGAAAGAUUUGCGAGAAAAGGUCCCGCAGCUUGCGAUUCAAUCAGCUAACCUAGAUGCUAAACUUAGAUUUCUUGCGGUAUGUGUUUUCCUUUUCAAUUUUAUUAUGUUUCUAAGCAUAAAUGUGGCAACUUGGGUGUUAACAAUGCUAUAGAGAUUAUUUAACUGAUAAUUAUGAAUUGUGUGGUGGCAAUAACACUUUGUGGAAAACACCCUCGAAAUAGCGAUGCUCUCUUUCUUAGAAAAAGUUGUGAAUUGUGAAUACUUAAAAUUAAAGGUCCAUAGUAUGGUAAUAAACUAAUUAAUAAUUAGAUUGUGCCAAAAACAAACUUAUAAUUAGAUUAAACUAUAAUAUGUUACAUUUUUUUUAGCAAAAUUAUUAAUAAAAUUAUGCUAUUCUAAGAUCGGGAUCUAUGUACUAGAGUGGCAGUGCCUGGGAUCAUAUGAUUACGUAAGGAGGUGAGCAAUAGAAUUAAAAUUUCUCUCUCUUAAAAGUAUUCAAGUAGCCCUAGGCUCCCAAGCAAGGAUGACCAUCGUGUAACUAUUUAUUAGCACAAUGCCUUCCGGUAUCGUGUGUUACAGAAACCUCGUCUCUAAAAUUGUGUCUAUUUAAUUUUUUAUAAACGUUAAGAAACUUUGAUAAUACUUAAACUUUUUAAAGAUCUCCUUUGAAAAAUGAUAGAAACCUACAAAAGCUCAUCAAGCUCCCCUGCAAUUUCUUUUCAACUUGUACAUAUAAAUAUAAAUGAGGUUUAUGUUAUAAAAGAAAACUACAAAAAUGGUAAGAGUAAUUUCACCCCUUACAUUUUGCUCUAAUUAUACAAACCUUCCUUCUAGAUUAAGGAUGUUCUGCUAGGAUUUAGAUGUUGCCUUUGCAAAUUUGCUUUUGAAAAUUCUAUGAUUUUGAUAAUUUCUGACCUAAUAGUUUUUCUUUUUUUUAUUCAUAUUACUUUGAUUUUACCAUCAUUACAAAGUUUUGCGAAUUGAUGUUCAUGUGAAGAUGUAUAUGUUUCACUCUUGAAGAAAAACACUAAUAUGCACUAGUAAAUUAAUGUCUGAAUAUAGAAUACGUUGACUAAGAGUCUAUUUGCAUAUAUACAUUUGUUUAGCCACAAGUUGAAUUAAUAACAUGGCAUGGGGAAAUUUUUUUAAAAAGAAAGUUUAAUAUUACUAGCUAGCUGCAUUGUUAGUUGGUUUAAGUUCUUGCCUCUAUUUGAGAAAUACGGUAUUUAUUUUUGUUUUACAACAGUGACAUUAGCGGUUCAACCUUUCUAGGAUAUAUAGGAAAGAUCAAGGUCAACAUUGUGCUAAUAUAUAUUGUGGAGUUAUAUUUGCUGCCUUUGUUUAUAGAUUAACUGUUCUUAUUAGCUUCGUUGUGGAGCUUGGCUAAUGGCUAUUUUAGAGUCGUCUUUAUUGGAUACUGAUAGAGAUUGGCAUUCUUGGUUCAAUCGAUAUAACUUAAUAGUGAUUUUGAUAUAUAUAUAUAUAUAUAUAAAUUAUCUAACAGUACAAUGAUUCGUUGGGUCUACUAGCUUUCUUUAAUUACUAUCCAAGUUUGUUUAAUUUUUGUGAGAGCAAAUAAUUAAUUAUGUUGAUUUUGUAUAAUAUUUAAUUAUAUUCAAUUUACUACGUACACCUGUAAAAAAAAAAAUGAGAGAGGAACAAACACAUUAAUAUCUCAUAUGAUACAGGAAGACACUACAAAUAGGGAUGUUCGUCUUAAGCAGCUCAGAUUAACCAUAGAUGCUAUGCGACAAGAAGCGCAGAUUAAAGAUGGUAUGCAUGGUUUUAUAUUUGUUUAUGCCUAAAGUAGCAAACUUUGUGCUUUCCCUCGUAUCACAUUAAACUGCAUAAAUAAAAUUUUCUAUCUUUACACGUCUCGGUUGCAUGAACAAUAUCAUGAAUUAAUAUCUGCAUCUGUAUCAAUUAUGUCCUUUCCCUCGCAUCACAUUAAACUGAAUAAAUAAAAGGUUUUACAAUUACACUACUUGUUGCAUGAACAAUAUAUAUGCAUGUGUAACAAUUAUCACUUUCCCAGAAAAUCCCAACAAUCUAAGCAUGCAUGAAAUUAAAUAACCUUUUAAGUUCAUAGGAGAACUUGUUAAAUAACCUUUUUGGUAGUUACAUUAGCUUGUAAUUUUGCACCAGUUUGGACAUUUAUUUAGCCUUUGUUGCUAAUUUAUAAAUUUGGUACAUUCAUAUUAUCAUGAACACAAUCUUGUGCUUGCAGCUCUCUCUGCAUCGGUAAAGGAAGAACUUCGAAGCCUCCGUAGGAAUAAACAUGGUCAUGUUGGUGUUAUGUCAAGUUGUGGUUCUGUGGACGAGUUGACCUCUCAAUUUUCUUCACAGUUGGCUCUACAAAAGUUUCAUAAUCAUCCGUCGUCGUCUCAGAAACAUCUAGACCUUCCUCAGCAAACACAGCUCUCCAUGCCUAAUCCUCUUCCUUACUCUACUACUCAGAGUUUUAGUGGGCAAUAUGGCCCUAAUAACUACUUCUCCAACUUCAAUCAGCAAAACUAGUUCAUUAUAGCAGGCAGCAUGAAACGAUAUCACAAGUAUCAUCUUGUGUAUAUGUUUGUAAUGCAGGAGAGCUGUGAAGGAUAUCAUUGUGUUGUUCAGCGUCUUUGUUGGUACUUAUGUUUUACUGUUUCAGGCUAGAUAGCCUAAUUCUUGUGCUUUUCCUGCAUUAAUUUUAAGGUUAAAACCAGAACUCAUUUUUUAUUUUCAGUUAAUUAUGUGGUGAAAACAGUUGAACAUGAAGAUGUUGAAGUAUAAGUUGAUGAUGCAUGGGGGGUGAAUGCAAGCUGUAUUCAUUGAGUUAUCACUUUGUAGCUUCUGAAGUUACAUGAUAUCAAACUUUGGAUUUUGUGAAAGAAAUUUAAUGGAAGAAAAAUGCAUCUUUAGUGUAUGUCAUAUGUUUUGCAGAUGUGUGUCCCCUCGUAUGAGCGAAAUCGUGUUAUGGUUAUUAUCUUAAGUAUAACCUUUUACACCCGAUCUUUACUCCCUUUGAUCUUUCUCACUUCACCAACAACGGCUCACAGAACCAUUAACACACCACCAUCAACAUCAAACCUCCAUAAAACGAAAAGGCCAUUGAGUACUUUUCCUCACUCAUUUACCCUCGGACCUUUAAAUUUCUCUCUCUCUUUCUCACAUAUAAUGUUAACACACUCAUAUCUUAUCAGCACACAUGAUCUUCCGGUUCUUAAUUUGUCCUUAAGUUAUCUCCACAAUCCACUUAGGAUUCACUUAUCCUCUCAUUUGUCCUUCAGAGGAUUUAAGAAACAUUCAGGAGAUGAAUUUAAAACAUGUAGGUCAAUCGGGACGACAAUGAAAACCCAAAUCAUCAGCCACAGACGAAGAGUAGCUGGCGGGGCAUGAUGGAGGGCUCAGCUUGACAAAGGAGCUAGGGGGUAAUUCGGGAAAAGAUAGAAAAAUGAAAAAGAAGAAAAACUAAUUAAAAGAAAAAUUCUCAUCCAUUGACUUAAAAAUAAAAACAAACAACCGUUGGAGACCUAUAACACUUUUUCAUUGUAGUCUUCUUCAUCUUUCAUAGUAACACAUUAAAGGAGUGGAAGAUUAAUAUCUUAAAUAUUAUCAUAUACUAAAUAAGAAACACUUCUUAACGACAUUUCUUAUACACAAAUUAUAAAAUAAAAAUUCAGAUCACAUGCUUAAAAGACUAUAAUUAAGUCCCUUCAUUUAUACCAAGAUUACAUUUAUAAUUACUUAAUAGAUUCUCUAUCAUGAUAGUGAACGGUGCAUUGAACAGACACAAUUUCUAGAACCAAUGUCAUUUGCAAUGCACAGAGGUUGAAGUUGUCCAUCUUCAAACCAAAAGGAUCGCUUUUUACGAAACUCACCACCAAAGGAGUCCAACAUUUCAAUGGUAAUGUGUUGCAUCACCACUACAUGUGCAAUAUUCCCAUUGCAUGCCAAAUUCCACCUACGAAUAAAGUCAUCAUCUAGAGGCCUCUCAAAGAUGACAAUGUCGCUAAACUUGUUUAACAUUGUACUAAUUUGAGCAUCACGUAGUCGAUUUUGUAAAUACCGUGCUUUCAUUAUGCAUUUUUGCACUUCGUUUUGGAGUCCUAUAUAUCAAACCUCUUUUUUUCAAGGCAUACCAAAGAAAUAUUGGAGCAUGCCCACAACGGCUACCUGUGAUUGUGGCAUCCCUUGAAGCAAUAAUUUCAACAUUUUUAGACAAUGCAUUGAUGUAUUCUAAACGAGUUAUUGCAAUACCACAAGGAAUUGGGCAUCCCAAGAACUUAUGGCCAGAAACAGUCACACUUCCAAUAGGUUUCUUGAAGGUAAUCCUUGGUGCCUGUGAAAUCACCCACAAUAUUUUAGAUGAGAUCAUAAUUAAUUAGUGUCUUAGCUUGGAUGCUUUGGUCUCUACACAUCGGACCUUCAUAGCAUCUCCAUUAAUACCUAAGCACACAUCAAAGCAAUGUUAUAGAUAAACAAAUAAGUGACUUUAAACUCACUUGCUUGACAAAAGGCAACAUCAUUCCAAAUAGAGCUCCAUCACAAUGAAUGUAGAACCGAUCACGAGUGAAACCACAUUCCUCAAGCGUUUGUAUUACAAGAUCAAGGUCAUCAAUAGCUCCUUUCAUAGUCGUCCCUACAAUAACAUACUGGUUCUAAGUUUGGUAUAUAUGUCUACAUUUGUAAAAAAGUUUGUGCAUGAGAGCUCGUUUAAAUUAACAGUAACUAGUCAAAGACAAAAAGGGACCUAUGUUUAAAUUGAUAAUGGCUGGCUUGUCUUUGUGUGUAAGAACUAAAUCCUUCAGAUUAACACAAUCAAUCUCACCGGAGGUUAAUGUGCUAACCUUCAUGCACUUCAUUCGAUACAUUCUAGCUAUUUUGAAGAUUGAAUAAUGUGAAUCUUGUGAGGUAUAUAAUAUCCCAUCAGGAAGUUGUUCUCUCCUGUAUAUAAAGAAAAGGAUAUAAAUCAAAGUUUGUGUCUUGGAUAUAUUUUUGAAAUAUCAAAGAAAUGGAAUCAAAUUCAACAAAACUGACCCCACUAAAAUUCCGUGAAGAUUGCCUUCAGUUCCUCCAGUUGUGACGUAUCCCCAAUACUCAUUCUUCUUUAUCUCCCACAGAUUUGUAAACCAAUUAAGCACACAAACUUCAAAAGUUGUUGAAUUUAGGGAGAAGCUGCUCCCUAGCUAGAAAUGGAUCACCAGCAUUGUUUGGGUGAAAAUGAAAUAAUGGUUUUAUUGCAUCAGAGUUGAAGUCCUGAUUAGUAGGAUAGCCUGCAAUUGAAAUUCAUGAAUGUCAUUAGCAUUUAGCAGAGUCGAUCUGUCAUAGUAUUACAAGGAAAUAAGGAUCCCAUGCAGAGUUACCCCAUCUAUAAAUAGUUAUGGUUUUCCUAAUCAUUGUUUUAAUUGCUAAUAGUAGUUUAAAAUUUUAAUAAGUAAAAAGUUUUUUUUAAAAAAAAAAACUACAUGUGUCAUUCAUUGGAAGCACACAUAAUUAAAAGAAAAUUAAAAGCGCAAGCUGUAGUGAUUUAGAGUUUCCAGGUAUUGAGCAAUAACUGAAGCUAAAUUGGCUUGUGUCUCGCCACUACACUGUGUGAUAGCAAGGUUCGUAUGACUAUUGUCAUUCUCAUAUUUUUCACUUCUAGUAGUGAGCUUAGCACCCAUGAAAGCAAUUGCCAUGUUCUUCUCCAUUGCGUUUGUAAUAUGCGUGCAUGUCUGAGAUCUAGGGAAGGAGAAGUGUGAGCCACUUAAAGGUUUGAAUGUGUAUUUAUAGAAUAUUGCAUUCGUAAUUAAUUUGAAGAUAGGUCAUCACUGCAUGUACACACAGAAUACCACGGUACACGUACACAAAACCAAAACCAAAAGCGUCAACACGCACGUACAUAUAAAAAACGUGCUAAAACUAAAACCCAAACAUAAGACAACAGCCGACAAGAAAUUUUGACGUGAAAAAAGGUGUUAAAUUAUCAAGAAUUUUGCUAAAAUAGUACUGGCUAUUAUCUGUCAUUUUUUUUAUGCGAGUAUUUGUCAAACACUUUUUAAUAUAUUUAAAAAUUAUUUAUUUGUUAUGACUUUUAGUUAUAUAAAAAACAUUUAUUUAAUGCAAUGAACAAAGUAAAAUAUUAGUUUAAUGAAAAUAUUGAUACUCUUUCUCUUCUCUUUCAUUCCUAUAUUUCUCUCAUUAAAAAAUCCUUAAAAUCUACAUUUUUUCUAUUUUUGCUUCUAUUUAAAUUCUUUCUUUUUAUUUUUUUCUCUUAUGAUUUUCUUUUUGAAUCAAAUAAAGAAUAGUGCCCUACCUGUUUAAAGAUUGAUAUAGAGACUUCAUCAAUCUCGCUUCAUGUCGUACAUGCAAGUAUUGCAACUGAUGUGUCGUCAAAUACUAUGGAAUAGUCAGCAUAACUUCUAUAAUUUGUCACAACUUUCUUUUUAUUACAAAAGUCAAACAUUUAAUUUGUGCUUCAGUUCGUGAGUUGUUCUUGACUUGGCUACAGUAGAAGUAAUCAAUUAUGAAACCAAAACAUUAUUUCAAACAAAUUAAAUCUUUUCGAUGCAUAAUUUGAAUAUAUAUUCUUAAUUUGAUAACUUUAUCUUAUUUUUAUUUUGAAUAAAUUGCAAUAACUACUCAUUAAAUUUUGUGAAAUUACAUAAAUAUUUUUCUUUAUUUCUAGACUAACCCCUUUUAAUUUUUAAAAAAUAUAUACCGACACCCUUUUAAACACUACAUUAACUUUCCUUAAUUGUUUAACAAUAUUACACGUAAUUGAUUAUGCAAAUAAAAGUUUUUUGUCAAAUCUUCAUAAAACUAUAUUACAAACAAAAUAAUUAUUUACAUUUGGUGAUAUAGUCAUUUCAUGACAGUAUAUGAAACAAAACAUAACUAUCGCAUUAUCUAAUCAUAUAAAAGUUGUAGCAUUACAUGAAAUGAAAUAAGUUGUGAAUGUGUUUGGUUGUGAUGUGUCAUUUAAUAUGGGUAAGAAAUUGUGGUUUAUUUUCAAGGGAAAAAAAAACAUUAACAAUGAUACGUUUGUUAAGGAGUGAGUUGACCGAGGAAACCUAUAAACUUCUGGUCAUUGUCGGCAUGCAGGGAGACAUUUUGUGUUUAUCUUGGGGUGGGUUUUUUAAGCUGGUGCCAUUAUGAGGAAGACUUUGGUGUUAUUGUAUGUUUCUACCAAGCAUGGUUUUAAAUAGUAAGCUGUAUUUUUUCUUUAAGUGCCUACAAUGUAAAAGUUUAAUUUCUGGCUCAUCACACUGCAAUCGCGACAGCAAUCAGAAUUUAAAAUCAUGUAGCAAGGGUCAAGCAUUGAAUAUGAGGGACUGGUGCUGCUUUAUUCAAGUGGUGUGACAAGGCUACUAAGGGCAAUUCAUAAAUUAAAGCAAAAUCAUCUUGGAACGCUGGCGAUCCAGAACCCAAGGAAGCGGAGCCUGGAGACACAUCUGCAAGGCAUCCAAUGGGUCAUUGAACUUGGAUUAUAGAAUAAGUUGUGUUUGAGCUUGAUUGUAAAAGUGUCGUUGAUGGCAUUUUGGCAAACUCUACUGAUUUUUCUUAUUUUCAUGUUAUUCUAUCUAAAGUGCAGAGAGCUGAUCUCUUACCUUUUUCAAACUCAAUUGUGUAAACAGAAAAGUAAUGGCUGUAUUAUUUCUUUCAUUUUCAGUUGGGUGGGUGUGACGAGAUGUUAAUUGAAAAGAUGUCUGCAGUCUGUAUAAAAUAUUCAAAAAACUACUCAUACGUGGUAAAAGUGAUAAUGGCGAUCUGUACUGUAUUUUGUUUGUCACUCAAUAAACAUAUAUAAAAUUAGUGGCCGGGGUAUUUAUUGUUAAUCUCUAUUUCUUUUAAGUGACCUCAAGGUGAUGGUACACAAAACAGAACGAAACGAAGUAUAAUAAAAGAAAACAUGAUAUUAUUAUUUAACAUAUAUACUGUGUUUAGUUAAUUAUAAAAUGAUACAAAAUUUAAUGUUGUCCUAUAUAAUAAAUUUGUUCCACUAACGUUGUCCUAUAUAUGUAUUUAGUUUGGUACUUAUUAAAUGAAAUAUUAUGUUAUUUUUAAUUAUAUAAAACAAUUUUAAAUCUUCUUACAAUUUCUCUUUGCUAAAUUUCUUAAUUGUUAAAUAAAGUACUAUUUUUUUAUAUUUUAAUACAUUAAUUAUUAUUUUUUUCAUUGAGCGCUUUUUCUACAAAGUGAUAAAAUAAUAUAGAAGAGUCUAACAACAUUACUAAUAUGUCAUUUAAUAAAUAAUAAUCAUCAUUAUAAUAAUUUUUAAAAAUAUAAUUAUUAAAAUAUUUUCUUGUGAGGUCAGUUCUCCAAUUCCUUGGAUUUGUUGAACUACUUCACCGCACACCAUCAGAGAGGCUGCAUUCCCGCUCAUCAUGAGAACCAACUUCAAACCCUUAUGAUGUGAGUCACGUACGUAUCAAACCUCUAUCCACAACCCUACAUUGUCAAAUGCCCAUGCAAUGAGCAAACCCUAUUACCCUCACCCUCACCAGACACGUACAUCCUCUCUCCAUCAUACACGAACACAUUCAUUAAGUGUUAUUAAACUCGACCAAGGUACUGGAUCACUAGAUUAGGAAUCCAUCCAAUGAAUAAGUAAUUAAUCUACACUCCAAUUUAUUAAUUCAGUUAUAAGUAUGUAAUCAACAUUAAAAAAUUCAAAUAUUAUAUAGAUCAAAUAAAUAUAAUUAUAUUUUUUUUUAACCUCUAGUUGUAAGGAACAUAGAUAAAAUUAUUGAGAUUUUGAUGCUCCAACCUGUUUCUUUUUGUUGAAUGAAUAUAUUCAAAUACACUUUAAUUUCGCUCACAACCCAAAAAAACUUUAAGUUUGACUUAAGAUAUGGAUAACUACCUUUUACAAAUGUGGUGCACCAUAUCCAUAAUCCUCCCACCAUUGAUCUACAAUAUUGGAUUAAUAAAAUAAAUAAAGAUUAUGGAUCACAAAUAAUGAAAGUUAUAAAUAACUAAUGUUACCUAGUAUCAUUGUAUUUCUUUCACAUACACAGCAGAUUAUCUUUCAAAAUCUACCUCAACAUUUUUGUAUAAUGUCAUUUCACUUGUCAAAUGAGAAUUCGACUCAAAAUCUACAUGAGAAUACUUCUCAAGAACUUCAUAAAAUGCACUUGUUAUGUUGAUAUGAUUUUUAAGAUCAUUAAAGUGAUAAACAUGAUUUAACCAAUAACCAGCAACAUGAAUUUGCUACAUUAUUUGUGACUAUAUGGACAAUAUUUUUAGGGCCAACAUACAACACCAUAUCCCUCAAAAGUUUUACAUAAAUUUUCAGGAGUUUUAGAAGCAGUAGAAGCAUCCACGAACUUUAGAAAAACAAUACCUUUAGGACAAUAAACCAAAAAGUUGAUUAGAGUCCACCUGCAUCUGUCAGUCCACCCAUCAUCUAUCACAAGAAUACAACUAGUUCGCUUCCAAAUCUCACGGUACUUCUCAAUAACUUUCUUCACUUCAUCAACUCAUUUAUUUAACAAAAAACCACAAACACUAUAAAAAUUUGGACCUUAUAUCCUGGGCCCAUGCUGCAAAAUGCAUCAACCAUAGGCUGGUAAUAUGUUGUGUAAACUGCAUUGAAAGGCACAUAAGCAUCAAUCAUCCAUCUUCAAAGGCAAUGUCACACUUUUCUACCACCUUUUUGCUUUGCAAGACACUUUUUAAGGUUGGUUGAGCUCCAGCAGUGGUUAUUGGAACAAAAUAAUCACCAAUGCGGUUGGAAUUAUUCCCCCUUUGAGAUGUAAGAGGUGUUGCUCUUAAUGGAGGAUCAUCAGACACUCUCAAAGAAUCUUCAUCAAAUGCAACAUCAUUCUCGUCAUCAGCUUCUUGGGUUUUUAUUUUCUUGGUCUUAUUCUCAUCCAUGUUUUGUUUCAUUUGAAAAGAAAUAUGACAGCUUGUCCCUUUUCUCCAACCAAGUGAGCCUUCAAUCUAUUAAUUCCACCUCCUUUAAUAACAUUAUUACAAUAAAGACACAUUAGAAAUUUUUUGUUAUUUUCCCCAACAAUUCAGUUGUUUGCAAUUUGCCCAAGCCAAAUUAGUUUUCCCUCGAUGCUUUGAGCCUUGAGUUGAUGCUUCUUGUGAUGAUGGUUGUUCAGGUUCAGGAGUUGACAUCUCUACUGUAUAAAUGAACUUGCUAUGUUACUUAUAAUGUACAACCUUACUAAAAUAGUGAUGUUCUAUAUUCUGGAAAUAAAAAUAGUAAGUAGACAAUCUGAAUUCAAAACUUUCCAUUUUGUUUUCAAACAUCAAUAUUACUCAGAAGUUCAAAACCACUGCACAAUUUAAAACUAAACACAUAACAUAAAAAUACAAUACAUUAUACAUAUUUGGAUUUGAAAAGAGCAGUCACAUACAUAAGGAUUCAAAGUGCACCAAACAUGAAUGUUCAACAGAGGGAUUCAAAGUUUCAAACAGAACACAUAUGGGAGAAUAGAAGGGGGUUUGAACUUUGAACAAAGCAAAGCAUAGAAGUGCUAACAUGUUUUCUGGAAGUGUUUGAGGGUGUUGACGACGAUGGAGGCUCCUGCUGGUGCGAGGAGCGAUGACAUUGCAGGGUCGAGGUCGAGGGGCAGUGGUGAGCGAUGACUCUGUUGGGAGAAGGUGUCUUCGCCUCUUUGAGGUCGAGGGACUGAGCAAAGGUGAAGGGGGUUGUGCGACUCUUCGAGAGAGACAAAUUAGGGAAGUUCUAAUUUUUGUUUCUCCAAUUGGGUUACUGUGACCCACCGGUGUGGGUCACUGGUUGAGGCCGAGUCGCACCUUUUCAUGUGCAAAAAGGGUCUAAAUAGGUGGCUCAGACCGAUUUUAGGUGUUCAAUUCUCAGACCAGUGGAUCAAUCCAACCGAUUCGAACUGAGUUUAUACAUGCAAUAUUUCUUCUCUCAUGCAUGUACAUUACUCAACACGUACACGGUUUCAUUUAUCCUUUUCUUUUUCUUACACUAGUAAACCAUCUUCACUCUCUAUGAGAGCGAGCAUACACAUCUACACAAGCGAAACAUACACAUGCAAUACACACUUCUCUCUUCAUGAUCUCCUCAUAGUUAUAAUAAUUUAUUAUAUGGUUGCUUUUAAGAAUUGAGACAUGUUAAAAGCUGAGGACCUGAACCUUAAUUAACUAGUGUACGUACGUAGGCAUGUCUCCUUUUGAACUGCUUAAUAAAUUAAUCUAUACAUCACAUAUUCCCAUUAUAUAUGUUUAGAUUGAGCAUAAUGGAAUAUUCAAUACGCUAUGACCGGAGCAUUUUCCACUGGGAAGAAAGCGGGCUCUGAACAUUAAUCUAUAUGCAUAUACUUCAAUCUUGGAAACCAAUUUUAUAUUGAUUUUCCCUAAUCUUGAUGAUUCUUACAUUCUUGUUCUUUGUUCUUAAUGUUUGAUUUUAUUCUCAUUAUUCUUUCCCCAAUAUAAAAAUCUAUUUCUUCGAUCUUUUUUAACUUUUAUUAUUGAAUCACAAUAAAUUAAUUAUUAUAAAUCAUAAAUUUUACGAAAGAACGAUAUUUUUAUUAUUUAACAAUGUUGUACACUUACAUUAAUAUAUCAACCAGUUGAUGGGUUGAGUCACCAAAUUGACAUCAAUUUUUGCAAGUUAGGCAGGUUCCAACCCAGCCAUUUUGCAAAUCCUAAACAAUUAUAACAUCACAUAUGUAUUAUUUAGUUAACAGAUUCUCAAUCGUGACAUUGAAUUGUGUGCAUUGAACAACCACAAUUUCCCGAACCAAUGUCUUUUGCAAUGCAUACAUGUUGAAAUUGUUCGUCUUCGAACCAAAUGGAUCGUUUUUGAAGAAAUUCAGCAACAAAUGAGUCCAACAUUUCAAUGGUAACAUGUUGCAUCACUACCACAUGUGCAAUAUUUCCUUUGCAUGCCAAAUUCCACCUACGAGUAAACUCUUCAUCUAGAGGCCUCUUAAAGACAACAGUGCUACUAAACCUGUUUAACAUUGCACCAAUGCCUGCAUUACGUAGUCGACUUUGUAAAUAGUGUGCAUUCAUUAUGCAUUUACGCACUUCGUUUUGAAGUCCUAUAAGACCUUUUCUUUUGAUGGCGUACCAAAGGAAAAUUGGAGCAUGCCCGCAACGGCUACCUGUGAUUGUAACAUCUCUUGAACCAAUAUAUUCAACAUCUCUUGAUAAUGCAUUGAUGUAUCGUAAACGAGUUAUUACAAUACCACAAGGAAUUGGACAUCCUAAGAACUUAUGGCCAGAAAUAGCCACACUUCCAAUGGGUUUCUCGAAGGUAAUCCUAGGUGCCUGUACAAUAACAAGCAAUAUUUUAGAUAACAUCAUAAUUAAUAAUUUGUAAAUGUUUGUGUUUGUGUAUAAAUAGUGAAUAAUGAAUAAGAGGAAAAAAGAUUUAAAUAUGUUUGAGAUCUAUAAUAAAUGAUGAAUUUUUGUUUUGAAUUUUUGAUAAAAAAUUUCAUUAUAUUAAAUUUUUGAUAUAAUAUUAUAAUAUUUUUUAUUUUAAGUCUUUGUCUUCAGUUAUUGAUAAUGUAAUAUCUUACAAAUAAAUUUUUUCAAAAUAUAUUAAUUAUUGAGAUAAUGUCAUAUCAUCACUAAUCUGAUGACAUGAAUUCAAAAUAAAAGUUUUGAUAUAUUAAAAUAAAAGUUUUGAUAUAUUAAAGAUCAAAUUCAAUAAAAAAUUUAUUAAGGAUUUAAAAUAAAAAUUAUUUAUUUAUAAGGGACCUUGAAUAUAUUUAAGCCUAUAAAAAAGAAUAAUAUACAAAAGAUAAAUUUCUAAAUUAGUUGGAGAACAAAACAAAAUAUAAAAUAAGGGAAAGAUUUUAUUUCAAAAUCCAAGCCAUAUUUCAAAGUAAUCUGUCUCAACAUAGAUCUGUAUAUUCUCCACAUAUCCAAUUUACCUCCCCAACAACUCCCAUUUCCUAAUCAUACUAUAUAUCAAAGAGAAGCUUUUUAUGUAACAUAUAUGUUAAAAACUUACUUGUUCAACAAAAGGCAACAUCAUUCCAAAUAGAGCUCCAUCACAAUGAAUGUAGAAUCGAUCACGUGUGAAACCACACUCUUGAAGUGUUUGUAUUACAAGAUCAAGGUCAUCAACUCCUCCUUUCAUAGUUGUCCCUGAAACAAGAACCAUAUUUAUGUUUCUCCAAGUGUCUAUAAAUUUUAUGUAAAAAGUGUGUGCUAUUAUUAGUUAUUAUAUAUGUGGGUAGUUGUCGAAGGAUACCUAUGUUUAGAUUGAUUAUGGCUGGCUUGUCCUUGUGAGCAAGAAGUAAAGCCUUUAAAUCAACACAAUUAAUCUCGCCAGAGACCAAAGUGCUAACCUUCAUGCACUGCAUUCGAUACAUUCUUGCUAUUUUGAAGAUUGAAUAGUGUGAAUCUUGUGAGGUAUAUAAAAUCCCAUCCGGAAGUUGUUCUCUCCUAUAUAAAGAUAGAAAUCGAUGUUUGUGUUUAGUAUAUAUUUUGAAGCAUCAAAGGAGUCUAGAAAUUAUAUCAAAUACUAACCCUACUAAAAUUCCAUGAAGAUUUCCUUCGGUUCCACCGGUUGUGACGUAUCCCCAAUACUUAUUCUUCUCUAUCUCCCACAGAUUUGCAAACCAAUCAAGCACACACACUUCAAAUCUUGUUGAAUUUAGGGAGAAGCUGCUUCCUAGGAAUGGAUCACCGGCAUUGUUCAAAUGAAAAUGAAGCAACGAUGCUAAUGUGUCAUAGUUGAAGUUUUGAUUAGUGGGGUAGCCUAAAGUACAUGAAAGUCGAUCAUUAGUACAGUCUUGCAUGGUAAGAAGAAGAGAUUUCAUGGAAAUAGAUAAAAGAAAAAUAAUAUUGUUAUAAAAAGAGAGAGAGAGAAAAAAAAGUUUGAACUGAGUUUAAAAAUAAGUAUCAAAAUAUCAGAACUAUUAUAUAUUAUAAAUUAUUAAAUUUAGUAUUAAACUAACUUUGAUAUUUCCAUGCGUGUCAAUUAUUUUCACAUUGUAUAUCUUACCUUCUAUUAUAAAAUAUUUCUUUUACUUGCUGAGAUUGCAUUAUUAAGAAUGGAUAAGGAUGUGAAACAGAUUAUGACAAUGAAACAAUUUUCAAAGUAAAAACGCCAAAACCAAAAGCAUACCUAAGUUGCGCAAGCUGUACUGAUUUAGAGUCUCGACAUAGUGAGUAAUAACUGAAGCCAAAUUGGCUUGUGUCUCGCCACUGCACUUGGUGAUAGCAAGGUUCUCUUUAAUAUCUAUCGGCAGAUUCUCUUCUUUUCUAGAGAAAUUGGCAUUGCUGACAACUUUCGAUGACAACAGCUCCGUGGCAUGAGUUCUUGGAAUUAUGAAAUCCAUUGCCAUGUUCUUCCCCGCUGAAUUCUCCAUUUGUAUAUUGUAAUUUGUAAUAUGUGUAUCCGAGAGUGAUAUAUAUGCAGAAUGUGUAGUGAAAGACACAAAGGCUGUGAAUAUGUAUUUAUAGCCAGAAAAUCAAAGCUGUGAAUGUGCAUAACGCGUGUAUUUUCCACUUGGUGGAAUUGUAUUAUUAAUUUAUUUAUUUCAUUUUCAGUUGGGGUGGGGGGAAUUAAUGGUGAAUCAAAAGAUGUCUGCAUAAAAAAUUGAAAAAUAAAAUGUAUUAAAAGUAAAAUGAAAUACGACACUCAGGAAUAAAAUGUAUCUUUUUAUCAAUCUGCCUGCCGUUCUCAACAGCCUUAUACUCUCAUGCAGUAGCGGAAUUGGGAAAAAGUCUCUGAGAGGAUCAUUUUUGGGGGCGUUUGGAAACGCGUCUCGAUCCACAAGAUAAUUAAAAUCACGUUUGGUAAGGUGGAUAGCGGGCUUGGUAUUUGACACGUACGAUAGAGUGGUUAGAUUAUGUGUAUGGAGUUUUGUUAGAACAAUGACAAAGAGGUGGAACGUUCCUAUAUGCAUGCAUGGGGUGGAGGAAUUUUCAUCUUUAAUUUGGCUGGUAAAUAAGUACUAUAGUGUAGUUGAAUUGGUGGUACAGCUGGUUCAUUUAUAGUGGGCUAAUAAUUUAUUUGCUAGCUAUAGUAUCAGGUUAAGUUAUAUUUAUGUGCUAUAUAUCUCUGUGAAUUAAUAUUUGGUGACCCUCUUUGAUCGAGGCCGUUUUUGGCCUCUGGUUGUACCAGAAUUUGGUACCACUGCUACCUUUUCACAUUGUUAUAUAAUAUCAUUAUUUAUCUCGAUGAAAAAAAAGAGAUAAAAUCACGUCAAUUUCUACUUAGAUGUAUGUAUGUAUAAUGUAGCCCAUGUUUGAAACUGGGUCACCAACUUACAAAAACCACGUCAAUCUGCAUCCUUUUAUGAAGAAGCUUCAAGUUUGACGUGGAAAACCACGUUGGUAAAAGCUACUGUGUAGACUGCGCAGCUUUGGUUAAGAUGUGUGUGUAUUUCAGAUGUUUGACGCCAGGAACCGACCUAGGAUGAGUUAACUGGGGGGGGGGGGCGGAAUUUUUUCAAAAUACUUAAUAAAUAUAUAAAUCUUAAAUUUUAUAAAUUUAUUUUUAUAAACCCCUCCGUAACAAAAUUUAUAUAAACAUUUAUUUAUAAUUAAGUGCUUUUCAAAACAAAUCAAGAACAUUUGGGCCUCGCUACACCUGUUCAUAUUUUAGCUGGCAUAUAUGGAUGCCUCUUUAGCAUAAAGAAGUAAGAGGUUAAUGGGCUGCAGUUUGGGCCAUUUUGAGGAAUGCAUGACCUUUCCAGUACUAUUGCCACUGCCCAUGUGAGUAUAUGCACCCAAGUCUUCGAACCAUAUAGAUAACGGGUUUUUUUUAUAAAAAAAAAUUGCAAGUAUUAUUAAUUCUUUACGUUAAGAUUUUGAUUUUUAAUUUAAAUUGUUAUAACUAACUUUUUAUAUUUAAAAUAUUUAUAUAUUUUAGUGUAAUAGAUUUUAACUUAAAAAAUUAUGUUGAAUUUUUUUAAUUUAACUUUAUAUAUUUUUUAUUUUUUUAAAAAUCAUAUUAAUAUUUGGAUUCACAAACUGGUUUGUCUAUAUGUGAACUUUUGUGAACCCAAUAUGUAUUUUAAAAAAAUUAUUUAUUUUACGGAUCAAACUUAUUCAACCCGUAUAUAUACUCAUCCCUAAUUAUGUUACAAAAUAAAAAUGAAAAAAUAUAAUUUCACAAGGCUUAACAAUGAGAAUAAUAAUUCCCAUUUUCCAACUCAAAUUAUAAAAUAAAAAACAAACUGCAAUAUCGGAUUCACACUAACAACAAGAGAGAAAAAUUCAUUCUCAAUACAUUCAUAUAUAAAUGCCCAGUCCAAGUGAAACCAAGUUUAUAUAUUUUAAAUAAAAUUUCGAGUUUUAUUUUAAAAAAAAAUAGUUUUGAGUCUAAAUAUUAUAAAUAAAAAUAUAUAAUUAAAAUAAAUUUCACUAAAAACAAUUAGAUUAAUUUUUCAUCAAAACUUUUAAAUGCUUUGCACCUAUAUAUAACUGUAAAAAAAUAUCAAUACAUUAUUUUCACAUUAGUAUUUUUAUUAAAUAUUAAAUUAACAGGUAAACUAUAAUUACCUAAUUAAAUUUUUGUGGGAGUCAAAUUAACAGAAGAAAAAAAUAAAGAUGCUGAAUUUGUGAAAUUAAGAUAAUAAAGAGACCUGCAAUUUGGAAAGGAACUAAGUAAAAAAAAAAUCUUAAGUAAGGAAUUGAGUAACAUCAAACAUUCAAACGCACGUUCACAUAGUCACACGUCAAUUCAGCUGCAUGGCUCGAGCUACUCAUCAAACGCCACGUAUUGCGAAAAAAGUUGGCACGUGCUAAAAAUCAACCGGCCGGCCAGUUUCUUAUGCGUUUGCGUCUUUUCAGCGUGACCCAUCCUUUUCGUCAUCAUGUUAUAUGUUCAAGUAGUAAAUGUUAUUUAGACACUGUUUGUUUCAAGUUAAAUAAAUGAAAAGGAAAUAUUCAUAAUAAAAAAAAUACUAGUACUUAGAUUCCUAUGUUUAACUUGAGGAAAUAAUGAAAAAGGAUAAUUUAUUUUUGGAUUCAUAAGGGAAAAAAUCAUUCAAAUUGGCAUGCGAUAGAAAAUAAGUUUUUUUUUAUGGUAGAAAAGAAGAUUUCUAGACAAUCUAUAUCACUACUUUUUUAUAUAAGUAUUUUUUAAAAACAGGUAACUUUAAAUGUUUGAAAAAUUAUAGAAUUAUCGAACAUUAGAUAUAUGAAUAUCUCUUCAUAAAAAUUUAAAUAUCGGUUCAUUAUAUUAUAAGAGGUUGCUCCCUUAUUAUUAUAAUUAUAAUCCAUAAUAAAUAAUCAUUUUUUAAAUUAUAAAUUAUAUUAUAAUAAAAAAUUAUAAUACAAAUAUUUUUAAAUAUAUAAAUUAUAUUUUGAUUUUUUGAUAAAUAAUUUUAAUUUUUUAAUAAUGUUAUUUAAAAUUGAAACAGAUUGAUAAACAAUUAAGAAAAGUAAGUAUAAAAACAAAUAAAGAUAAAUAAAUGUUAUUUUGUGAUGAUUGGGAAUUUUUCUUUGUCUAGUUUUGUUUUUUAAAAAAAAGUAUGUGAUAUGCAUCUCCAAAAUACAGGAGAUAGAGCAACGAAAAAUUAUAAUUAAGAGAGUUAGGUGAAUAAGAACUUCACUCUCUAAAUCAACAAUUCUAUUUUUUUUCCUUUUUUGAAGAGGGAGGGGGGAUGAAUGAGAAAUAUAUUCAAAGUCUAGAAACACCUAAGAGGCAAGAAGGUUAUUUCUUAUAAGCAUAAUAUGGCCUUAAGGAGAUAAAUUCAAAACUACAUCAAAUAUAUGUUUAGAAAGAACCAUGGCUAAUUCAUACUUGAUAAAGACAUCAACAACUUAAUUAGUCACUUUUAACAUGUAUUGUCAAACUAUAUGACUCAUGUAUUGAUGAUUUCAAUGACUUACUUUAACCAAGUUAUAACAAGAAUGCAAAUGACAACAUUCAUUGACCAAUAAUCUAACCAUCAUCAAAGAAUUCGAAUAAAACAACAAUCAUACAAAAAAUCAUAGUUAAAUCUUCUGCCUUGAGUUAAAGGCCCUAGAUGAACAAAAAGCCUUGUCAAACACUACAUGAAUGAUUUGGAUUCUAAUUUCCAAUAUAAGAAUAUUUGUUUAUUUAAUUUUGUUUUUAUUUCAUUUCUUGUUGAAAACAAAAUAUUUAAAGCCUACACUUUAUCAUAAGUCUAUUACAUGAUGGUAUGUCAUAGUGAUUUGAAAUUCAUUUUGGGUGUGUUUAGUUUAAAGGAUGGAGAUAAAAAAAAGAUGAAAAUAGAAAAAAAUGAAUUAAAAUAGAAUAUAAAAAAUGUGAGUUUCACAAAAAAAAUACACAAUUUCUCUCCAAUAUUCUUUCUCUCUUUUCUAUUAAACUUACCAUUAACAUUGAUUUAUGAAUGCAACACAUUAAAAAAAUAAAAGAAAACUAGUAUUUAAGAGAAUUUUCAAUUACAUGUCUCGUUUUAAUUUAGAUAUAGAAAACAAGACAUGAGAGGUGAAAGUGAUUUCAAUUCAUUUGUAAAAGCAAUAUAUAAAAUUAACUUAGUGCACAAGAUUAUAAUUCUUUUUUAAAAAAUUGAACACUUUUCAACAUUGAAGCCUAGGUCAUUGCUCUUUCGGCCCAAGCAUAAGAGGCCAAUCUUGUUUUUGUUUGUUUAGAUAACUAGUUAAAUAUCUCAUGUCUUAUACGAGUAUUAAUUUUAUAAUUUAUAUUUUUUUAUAUUAUUAUAUAUUUUUUUAUGUAAUUAAUUAUUAUAUUUUGACUAACAAAAAUAUAUUAUUAUUAUGUUAGUAUUUAAAAAAUAUUUAAUUGGUUUUCAUUAUUUAUCAUUAUAAUAAAUAUUUGUAACUAUUUUAUAAAAUCAUGAUAGUAUUUUUUUUAUAAUAAUUAAAGGAAAAUGUAUUAGCGUUAAUUAAAUUUAAAUUUAAAUUUAAUUUAGAAUCCAUAUAUAUUUAUGGUAUUAAUUAAUUUGAAGUAGAAAAUAUAAUUAUUUAUUAGUUAGAAUAUUCUAAUAAGAAAAAUAUUAAGGAACAUUUUUCCUCUAAUAAUGAUUGGUUACUACAAUUAGAAUAAUUAUCAUAAUUAAACUAAAUAUAUAUAUAUAUAUAUAUAUAUAUAUAUUAGUGUUAUUGAUUAAGUUUAAUUAUAUUACUAGUUAGAAUCUUUUAAUAAUUAUAAUUUAAUGAGAAUGAAUAUGAAACAUUUAAUCAUGUGAAAGAAUCUUCUUUUAUACUAUCUCCUAUCAUUUUUAUAUAUAAGAAAUAAGAUAAAUCAUAAUUUAAAUAAAAAAUGCUAAUAUCCAUUCUAGUUAGAAUCUAUUAACAUUCAAUACAAAAAUAUUUGAAGUAUAAAAUUGUUGAUUGUUUUGUUUUUUAAAAUUUAAUUCAAUGAUACUAUCGUAUUUUAUGAUUUAAUUUUUUAAAAACUCUAUCUCACAUUUUUUUUUCAUGUUUCUCUCAUAUAUAUAGAGAGAUAUUUGUUAUUUUAUUUUAUAAGUUAAAUAAUAAAGCAUAAUAAUGUUAUUAAAUUAAAAUUUAAAAAUAAAAGAUUCAAUAAUUUUUUUAGUCUAGAUAUUUUUGGACUGAAUGCUAAUGUAUAUGAAUAUUAAUAUUUUUUAAAUAAUGAUUAAAAUAUAUUUUCAUCCUUAUAAAUACUAAAAUAUUUAUGACUUGUAAUCAGAUUUAUAAGAUUCGAUUCUACAUGUUAAUAAUUUAGUAUAUCACAGGUGAAGAAUGUAACAUUAACCCGUAAGAUUGAAUAUUUCGAAUUCAAUUUUCUAAGAUAUCACACAUCUAUAUUUUUUACCAGGACAAAAGAAACAUACUUAAAAUUUGACAAUAUUUUGAUAUUUAUAACUUUAAAUAAUGUAAUAUUGUUUACUUGAUUUUAUUAUCCAAUAUAAAUAUAAAUUGUUUCUCCGUUGUUUGGUUUUGUUUUGGUCGGAAACAAUGAAUGAGAGGAUUAGCGAAACGCAGCGUGAGAGGAACGACAUCCCCAAUCCAAUUCAAUUACUAGCUGCCUUUUUCUUUUCCUAAAAUCUCGCCUUUUUCGCUUCCGUGUCCCUGCUCAGCGGCAAGGCAACUUCACUUUGGACCAAAUUACCCUCCAUCUCCCUUCAAAUCACACCGAACCCUUCCCUUCCCUUUUUCCACUCAGAUUCUCUCCCCCCACUCCACAGUCAACUCCAUGUGCGCUUGAAUGGAUUUGGUGGAAGGCGUCGGAGAGAGUUCCUCGCCGCCGCGCGCCUUCAGCGGCUACAGCAACUACGACGUCCGCAACGAUGUCUACAACCGCCUUCUUCAAACCGGCCACGACCAAGCCGUUUCCAACCCCGACUUCCGCGAACACUUGGAGGCUCACUUCAAUCGCUUGCCACCGAGGUACUACUUUCUUUCACUCUCUUCUUCUUCUUCCUUUCUAUUUUUUGGAUUAGGCCUCACUUUCAAUUAUUUCUAGGAAUGAAGUGUGUAAUAAUCUGUUGCUGCUUUUUGUUUGUUUGUUCCAGUUAUGGACUCGAUGUGAAUAUCGAUAGAGCUGAAGAUGUUCUGUUGCAUCAAUCCCUUCUUGCUUUGGCAAAGGACCCUCACAAGCGCCCUGUAUACCAUAUACGCUUCCUUGAGGUACUAUUCUUCCUUACUUUGCUGUUGCUAACUCCAUUUCAACUAGCUUAGGAUCAUUCCGGAUUCAUUUUAAUUAGAUUCAAUUCCCAUCAUUUCUGUUUAUGUAUUUCGAUUUCGAAUAGGAUUUUUAUGAUUGGUCAUGUUUGGAUAAGCUUCUCGGUAAACACGUUAUAGGAAAAGUGUUGGAGUGUAGGUGAAAGGUGAAGUCUCACGUUGAGUAGAAAUGAGAAAUUUGAACACCAUAUAAGUGAUAUAAGUGAGGAGAAGACCCAUAAACCUGAGUCUUCUUAAGGUUUUGAGUUAAAGUGUGGUAUCAGUUCGCUUGUAUGGUGUGCUCGAGGUCUAUGGGUGUAAAUCUCCCCGGUGUUUAUCCCGAUGCACAACAAAAAGAAUUCUAUCAUAUUUCUUUCAGUUUUUCAUGUCUAUCAAAUUUACUUCUUCUCUCGAUUUGCUGGGCAGAAUAUUUCAACUAGAACAGAUAGUGAAGAUCAACAAAUUUUAAGUACUCAUUAUAGCCCAGGAUCAUCUUCCCAUGCAACAAAUGGGGGAGCUGUAUCACCUGGUAAAAGGUAUGCUAUCCAGCGAACAGUGAAAUAUACUAUAUAUGUAUGCACAAGCAUUUUACAGGAAGGUUUCUGGUAACUGUUACUUAAAAUAUCAAUUCUGUAUCUUUGUAAUUUAUUAUUUAUUUAUGCAAUGUAAUAUAAUUAUAUAAUUUCCAUCAGUAAGAUGAGGGAUAUUGCAAAUGAGUUUGAGCCUUGCUCGAAGCUUGAGGACCUAAAUUUGGAUGUUAGAAAGAACUCAAAGGAGACAGAGGAAAAAUUUCUCUCUGACAAUUUUUUCCAGAGGUACCACCUGAAUAAAGUUACAAUGCUGUUUCUUACUUUUCUUUUAGUUUUUGAAAUAGCAGUGUGACAACUUUUGUUAAAACCGGUAGCCAUGGCUGCAAAUUUUUUCUCUUUGGAGAGCAGGAAAGUAGACUUCUAUCUGUUGCCAAAAUUUAUGUUCCAAACAUUUAUUUUUAUGAAUGCGUGUAUCUUUCCACAUUUGAAAUUGAAGUAGUACACUGUACACCACUUGCACGCCAAAUGUUACCUGAAUAUCUUUUCUUGUGGUAAGUAAGUUAAACAUUGCAAUUUAAAAUGCAGGCUUGAACAUUCAAGUGUCCCCGUUCAUGAAAUAAUAUUUUCCACUGUUGACAAGCCAAAGCUGUUAAGCCAGGUAUGUUUGAAGAGUUUAUCUUAUCUGUUGUUUUUUGUUAAAACUUAUAUCUGUUGUUCUUAAAAUAAUAUAUGUUGGAGGAAGUUGUCAAGAGAGGUUUCAGGCUAAGCAAUUUGAUUUUUAACUGUGCCAAAUGGCAUAAUGUGAUCCAUGCAACUGACCUCACUUAGUAGGAUAAGGCUUUGUUGUAAAUUAAUUGAAAGUUUGAAACUCCCAGAGAUAAUGAGCUAAAAUUUUUCAAUCUACUUAGGUCAUGAUAUAUAGGUUUAUUUUCCUCAGUAUCAACUUAAUGAAACAAAAACUUUCCUCAAAAUUAGAAGGUAUUUAAUAACUAGAGAUUUAUUAAGCAGUUUUGGAGUGUGUUGUCAACUUUUCAUAUGAAGCAUAGAUAAAGUGAAGCCAAUAGAAGCUAUAUGAAAGACUAUAUGGAAUAUUGGAUACCAAUGUUAUAAUGCAUAGUUUUGUUGUAUCAUUGUUUUCUGGAUACUGACUAGUGAUUUGUAUUAUUGUAUAUGUUAUUCCUGUAUUCAUACAUAAUCCAAAAACAUUAUGUAAAAAAUAGUUUGAGGGUGUAAACUGAAUAACUGGAGUGGAUUUUACGUAAGAUCUUGAGAGUGGAAAUCAGGGCAUUCUCUUGUAUGAAGUGUAUAUGUAGCUUCAUUCUGUUGAUAUAAUCAAGUGCGAGGUUCUAGUUUGUUAAUGCCUGACAAUAUAAUUGAUGGAUAGUGGAUUGCUUUUUGACGGAUAUUAUUUUCUUUUAGCUGUCCGCUUUGCUGUCUGAUAUUGGACUUAACAUCCGUGAAGCUCAUGUUUUCUCCACAACUGAUGGCUAUUCCCUUGACGUGUUUGUGGUGGAUGGAUGGCCAGUAGAGGUACACUGCUGCUUAUUGUGAUGCUAUUUGCUUUCCCCCAAAGACCUCUGCAAAGUUGUAUCUUUGAAAGCUGUCAUUUCAUUAAUGUUAAUUUUACAAUGGCAUUUGUGUUAUUGGCAUGUUGCAAACACUUCAUAACUGUUAAUUGAUUAUAAUUUUGUACUUGGUGGUUGAACUCUACUACAAUUAUCUGAGCUUUGAUUUGAUGGCAGAUUAGGUAAGAUGACAAUUAUUGAUACCCACAAAGGUUGUUGCAGCUGCAUUUUUUUUAUAAAGAAAAUAUUUUCUUAUCACAGUUUUUAAUUCAGACAAAAAAUGGUCUAUAUCGGGAGUCAAGCUUGUAGGUUAUUAAGAUUAAGAUUUAAGGGGCACUGUUAUUAUAUUUCUCUUAUGACAGGGAUGUGUGCUGAGUCCAAAUGUUGCUGACUUUGCAAUCUUGUGCUCAGGAAACAGAUGAUUUGUAUGAUGCUAUGGAAAAAGCUGUAUCAAGAAGCGAGGUGCAUUGUGUCCUUGACUUUGUAUCUACACAUUCAUAUGUUGGUUUUGUGUGAGAUGGAAUUAUAUCUCUGAAGAAUGAAUGAAUAAUUCUUGUAUUUCCUGGAAUGUAGUUUAGUAACGCGUACUUAUAAGAUUGUAAUCAAUAUUCUUCCUUUCUCUAGGGAUCAUGGUCUCGUUCUUUAAAAUCUCAUUCAGCUGUGGAGAAAGCCUUAGCAACAGAAGGAAAAUCAGGAGAUUGGGAAAUAGAUAGGAAGUUGCUAAAGUUAGGAGAAAAAAUAGCAUCUGGAUCCUCUGGAGAUUUGUGAGUUGUGUUGUUUUACCAUUAAUUGUUUGUGUAUUUCUUUUAACUUGAUUUUCUUUCUCUUCCCUAUCGUAAUAUAUAUCUUGUUUUUAAUUUGCUUUAUGAUUCAUACUCAGGUAUCGUGGAGUUUAUCUCGGUGAAGAUGUUGCUGUUAAGGUUCUGAGAUCGGAGCAAUUGAAUGAUGCCUUAGAGGAUGAGUUUGCUCAAGAAGUGGCAAUUCUGAGGUCAGUACUUGGCUGUUUGGAGGUUAAGACCAUACUGCAUAUCAUAAUAUGUUUUUGCAAUUAAUCUUUCUUAUGAAUUCACUUUCUAAAUGAUUAUCAAACAUUUUUUCUUGUGUUGUACAGUUGAAUUUGUUGAGCAAUUAUUAUGUUCUCUUUUUCUUGAGGAAUAUAUAUUUAAAUUGAAAUAUCAACUCUAGUACCAACUACCAAGUUUUAAGAAGUGGUUAAGCAUGACAAAAUUAUCAGUCUCAGUAAAUUGCUUAGUUGGCUUCAUCCUUGCAUCUGUUUACUUGGUUCUUGAGGGAUUGGAUGUCUGUAUGCUAGAAACUUUUGACAAAUGAUGUCAGUUGUAGCAUCCUUACAACUGCUUAUUUCUCAAUUGAUGUUUUCUAAGCUGGGAUUUCUCAUCUACUAAGUUUUAUCCUGCCAUUGCUUUUGUUUAUAUUAAUUACAGUCUUGCAAGGAUUUGCUUAUACAUCUUUAGGACAUAAAUUUAAAGAUAAAAUGUAUCACUCACUUUCUCAUUUAGGUUCUGUCAAUAUGCUUUUUUCUUUCCUGAAAAUCUUUUGACAAUUUGACUUCUGCAUUUCUGAAUGCAGGCAGGUGCAUCAUAAAAAUGUUGUUCGUUUCAUUGGUGCAUGUACAAAGUGUCCACAUUUGUGCAUAAUAACAGGUAUAAAUCAAUCCAUUUGGUUCUGCAGAUAUAUUGUCAUAUAUUAUCCUAUUUAAUGUGGAAACAAUAAGCUAUCCUUAUUAAACGAUGUUUUAUGUUUCUAAAGAUUAUUACAAUCUCAUCCCUUAAGUUUGAGGUUCAAAACAAGAAAAAUAGAUACCAUGUCCGCCUGGCCCUUUCUAAUAGAACAAUGAUUGCUGAGGAAGAACUAUUGGUAGGACUUUUUAUUUAUGAGUUAGUUUCACAAUAAUGUUUAUCAGAAUAUUUUAGUCAAUUAUCAGAAAAAAUGGUAUGUGAUGACAGUUAAUUGACACAAGUAAAAAAAUUAUAAAUAAAAAAAGAAAUUCUAGAGAGCACCAUGUGUGAAGUUCUAUGAAACAUUUGAACGCCAUAUAUAAGGGGAAUUGCUAAGUGCUAACCUCCACACAUUCAUGGGUAGAUUAGCAUUCUCCACAUUUUUAGACUAAAAACUUUGCCAACCAAAUUUUAAAAAGUGAAUAAUGAUACCAUUUUAUUUGUUUUGAAAUUCAAUUAAUAUUUUAGCUUCUUUGUUACUACAAAUUUCUUUCACCUAUUUUCUCUCAAUAGUUAUUAUUUGUUUGUAUCAUCUCUCCUUUGUCAGUAUUACUAUCUCAUUUGUACCAGAAAGAAAAGGCUGAGGUUUAGUAAAAUGGGAAAGAUGUUAAUUUGUGUGUGUAUAUAUAAAUGUAUGUAUGUAUUGUGUACAUACAUAAAUACAUAAUAUGAUUGAAUAUUAUAAAAAUUUAAAAAUUAAUUUAUUUUGAUUAUUACUAUCUCAUUUUGAAUAUUAAGUUUGUAUUGAUAUAAAGUUAAAACGUUGAUAAUUAUAAAUGCUUAUUUUUACAGAUUACUUUUCUAUUAUAAUUCUGAAUUAAUUACAAAUCAUUUCUAUACUUGUUCCGUUUUUAAUAUUGGGCAGUAUGCAUUUUAGUCAAAACUAUUCUUUAGUUGUAAACAAUAUUUUCUCUUAUUAAAUAAAUAAAUUGUGCUUUGUUUAAUGUAGUCAUUAUCAAUUGUCAAUUCAUUAUUUAUUAAAUACAUGGAGUUUUUUGCAAUUUUAAAUAUUUAUAUUUCUUGUACUAUAUACUUGCUUAUGCAUCCAAAGCUUGUGGUCUGGACUUAUUUAGCUUAAAGUGCAGUAGUUGUUUUUGCAAGACCGUCAAUGUUAGACUUGUUUUCUUAAACACAAAAAUGGUUUGAUCAGAUAUACAAUUAGUCCUAUACUGGUGUGUGUAACUAUCUUGUAGGAGUUACGAAUUGGAUCUUUACAAGUUUAAGUGUUUUCUGUCUUAAAUGUCUAGUGCCUUUUGGUUCUAAGUAGUAUGGUUUUUCUUCUGAUCACUUGACCUUGUGCUAAUAUGUUCAUCAUUUAGUACUUUUCAGGGGAUUUAUUAGCUCAAAACAAUGGUCAUCGCAACAUUUUCAAUGUGACUAUGCAAAUCAAUGUUACGGGACUUAGAAGGUUUCUAAAUGUCAUGCAAAUUGUUCCUCCAUUGUUGUAAUUAUGGGAUUGUGGAUCCCAUGUCUAAGGCAAUCUUCCUCUAUAGCUGUUUUAUGAUAUCAAGAAAAGUUGUUUGAAAAUCAAGUUAAAAAACAUCCAUUUCACCAAUUCAUGUCAUUAGAUAUUAAUAUCUUGUGGAUAAAAUGUUCCUUAAUGUUUGGGUGUCAAGCUUAGGAUUAUUUUCCUAUGUGCCUGUGUCACUGCAAAUGUAUUAUCCAUUGUUUGUUGAUUCUGGACUAGUUCACUUCAUUGCUAUUGUUCAUCUACUCUAGUGAACUCAACCUACUAAAUGAUUUGGGAUUUAAAUUCCUCCUAAUGAUGUUGGAUGCAAAACUAAAUUAGUUAAAUAAACUUGCUACAUCAAUCUCUAUUUCCCUCCUUUUGAAAGAUUGCCUAACUGAAUCUACUCAGUCUCAUGAUGCACCAUUAUGCUGAUGGUGUUAUAUGUCAUCAUUCAUUUUUCCAACUUGUGAUGCUUCUUCUAGACCUUGUGUCUUCAAGUAUUUGGAAGAAUGCUUUAGUUCAAAUAAUUAAAUUCAUAUAAUCUUGGGAACACGUAAAUUGAUUACUUAAAAGCUGGUCUCCUCUCCUGUUUAUUGUUCAACUUGUCUUUUCUUUUGAAUUUAUUCUAUCAAAAUAUUUUUUAAAGUUUGUGCUCUUCUUUGCAGAGUAUAUGCCCGGAGGAAGUCUGUACGAUUACGUGCACAAAAAUCAUAAUGUCUUGGAGCUGUCUCAAUUACUAAAAUUUGCAAUUGAUGUCUGCAAGGGUAUGGAGUAUUUGCAUCAAAGCAAUAUAAUUCACAGAGAUCUGAAGACGGCUAAUUUGCUGAUGGAUACACACAAUGUAAGAAUUUAUUGAAAGUUUGAAACUACUAAUUUUCUACUCUACAACAUCACCCAUACUAAAAUGGGUGUUACCUUGUAUGGAAGCAUCAUUAAUGAACCAGAUAUUUGCUAUUAUCUUUGUUUGUGUGUAUUUUUAACCAAUAAAUUCAUUUCAGUUGUAAUUGUGUGACAAAUUAUCCACAGGUUUUCUGAAUAAUUCACUGAAGUAUGAAUGUAUGAUAAAUAAUAAAACUUUUAUAAUAAACUGUAAUACAAAGGUUUAAUUGACAUUAUGAUUCACCCAAUGCUCAUGACAAAUAGCAUACGUUGAAAAUGUGAUAUGAAAGUAGCAAAUGCUAAAACUUUCAGAAACAAUGGAUAAUGGUUUAUUUUUUUUCAAUGAACUGUUGUUGCCACUGCUGGAUCUUUUAAAUUUUCUUGAUGUGACUGACAAUAACAUUUAUUUUGUUUUGGAGUUGCAUUUUAAAAUUUUUUUAUCAUUAAGUUUUUAAUAUUUUUUCCUUUUCCAAUUAUUGUUAUCCAAUUAGGUUGUUAAAGUCGCAGAUUUUGGAGUUGCUCGGUUCCUAAAUCAAGGGGGAGUGAUGACAGCAGAAACUGGGACAUAUAGAUGGAUGGCACCAGAGGUUCGUUACUUGAAAAGAAAAAGACAAAAUAUACUGUUGUGCUUUUUUAUAUUUUCAUAUCAAUGUUAAUGUCUAAGUAAUAGAUUUUGUAAAGCUAAGGGUGCUGGGCUAUUAAUAAUUAAUAUUGGUAUGUUUACCUAUCUGUUACCUUUUUUAUUAAGCUUUUGUUGUUUAUUAUAAGAAGAGAUUUUAUUAGGGGGAAGAGGAGGUCCCAAAGAAUGAAAAAAAUAAACAUUUAAGAAAAUUCAUUUAUUAAUAUAAAAGAGCUCUCUAAUUUCUCUGAAAAUAUGUUAAUGAGAUUCCCUGGAUCAAAGAAACCUUGCCAUGUGGUCAGCACUCAGCACCAAAGUGAGAACAUAAACACAAUCCUAUCUAAUAAUAAUAAAUAAUAAAUAUAUACACGUAUAUCUCCUUGGUGUCCAGAAUACACGUAUAUCUCCUUGGUGUCCAGAAUACACGUAUAUCUCCUUGGUGUCCAGAAUACACGUAUAUCUCCUUGCUCAAAACUCUCCCACCCUGGGUUCAGCAACAGGCCAAAAUCCUUAUUCCUAACAAAGUGUCAUCUGGGUUCAGCAAUUUCUGAAUUAGCCAAGUAGGAGAAAAUAUGAUGCUGUUUUACUAGCCAUCUUUAACAAUUUCAGCUUUAAUCAUAAUGCCCAUGAUAGUCAUUUUACUUUCUCUUCGUUUUUGUUAAAUUGAGUAUAUUAUUCUUUUUUUUUUUUAAAGUUCGAAGAAGUCCAUUAUGAAAAGAGAAAGAGGUUUAAAAUCGACACAUUGAUUCCUUUUUUGCUUAUAUGAUUUUUGGUGAACUGUAUGCAUCAAAAAGUGCAUGUACGGCUCUAAAGGAAAAAAAUCAAAUCCUAAUCAAUCGACUUUAUCGAGAAAGAUUACUUUUUUUAGGUCAAGAGGUUGAUAGUGAAAUAUUGAAUCAACUAAUUAGUCUUAUGGUAUAUCUUAGUAUAGAAGAAGAGAAUAAAGAUUUGUAUCUGUUUAUAAAUUCUCCAGGGGGUGGGUAAUACCUCAUUUUACUUUCUCUCCGUUUUUGUUCUGCCUAAACCUAAGAUAGAACGAAAAGAAACAGGCAGAAGAAAUGAACAUUCGAAAUCUCUUUUGUAUGGAUUUCUCACCAGCACUAGGCGUAAUUGCCAUGUGUUAUUUUUAUUUUGUUCAGGUUUUACUUUAAGUAUCUUACUGUUAAUGGAUUUUUUCACAAGGUUAUAAAUCAUCAGCCCUAUGAUCAGAAAGCAGACGUAUUCAGUUUUUCCAUCGUACUGUGGGAAUUAGUGACGGCAAAGGUAAAUAGCUCGAAAUGGAUUAUAAUAUUGUAUUCUCUUAUCAUAUUCCUUUACCGUUCCUUGAACUGUAUGAUUUUUUAUAUAUCAAGGGAAUUGUUGUAAAAAUAUUUAUAUUUUUUCAUCUUGUAUUUCAGGUACCAUAUGACACCAUGACUCCACUACAAGCUGCCUUGGGUGUGAGACAGGUUUGCUAUUUAUUUAUCAUUAUGAUUUAAAUGUUAAGGCAUACAUAAAUUAUUGCUCUAUUUGACAAUUGACAGUUAACUUUUGUUUGUAGCUUCAAUAUGUCUGACAAAUAAAACUUGGGUAUAGGAUUUUUUUUUCAACAGAAAUAAUCAUGCUACCUCAGUGAAUGAAUGCAUGCUUAUGAGAGCAUAUUUGCAGUAAAGGUUUAGUUUGAAGUGUUGGACCUAUAUUCAUGUUAUGGGAGUGUGUAAGUUGAAGUUCAUAACUAGGAUCGAUCACUUUGUAUCUGACUCAGCUGUAAUGCUGUACAUCCUUCAGGGUCUGCGGCCAGAACUUCCGAAGAAUGGGCACCCUAAAUUAUUAGAGUUGAUGCAAAGAUGUUGGGAAGCAAUUCCAAGCCACCGUCCAUCCUUUAAUGAGAUAACUGCUGAACUUGAAAAUCUUUUGCAAGAAAUGGAGGUAAAUUAUAUUAUUAUUUAUUAAAAAUUAGGACAAAUUGCAUUCAUACUCCCUAAACAUAAGUGACAUUGCACCCAAUAUCCUUCCCUUUUCCAUACAGGGACUUUAAUUAACAAAUUAGGAUAGGCUUAUGUUAAUAGAAAGAGACAUUGUUAUAUCAAGUAAUUGUGGAAAGUUUGCGUUGGGUCAAAAGAGGGAGAGACAUCUGGUGCAAUUUCACUUUAGUUUAAAUAAUUUUCCCUAAUAAUUAUUUUAUCCUUUUUGUUUUUUUGGUAAACAUUUAAUUUAGAUGGCCUGAUUAUAGUUUAUUAUGUGCAAAUUGCAGAAAGAUUCAGAAGCGAAUGGUGCUUGACAUUUUCAGCACAAACUAAUAUAUUCCAGUUAUUUUACACGGUGGGAUGGAUCUGACUUUUUUUUCCCUUCCUCUGGCAGCUGUAGAGUUUUUUUCACGUUCCCUUGUGGCACCGAGGGAGAAAGGAGUUCACAGAAAUCGUGACCAAUACAAAGUGAGAAAAUGUAAAGAGGCAUACUAAUGUUAUAGCUGACUAUACUUAAAAUAUAUAUCCCAGGAUCACGUCAAACUUCUCCGAAAUUAUUUUGAUUCGAGGAAUGCGUUCCACGUGGCUAUUGAUGUGUUCUGGUAGCCAAAAAGAAACAUAGUUGACGUAAAAUCAAUGAAGUGUAUAGUGAGGGUAAUGCUGUUGAGCUUUAAUGUUUCAUUUUUUUUCUUGGGGUCAAGUAUUGAGAAUUUUAUGUUUUGCACUGUAAAUUAAUGACAGGCAUGGACCGAUGAGACCAGGUAUCUAAACUAUUUUAAUGCAAAGUGUUACCUUUGCCUUAUUAUUCAUAUACAUGUUCUCAUAAUUAGGUGAAUUUUAUGUGAGAUUCAUCAAAAAGUCUUGUUAAUAAUUGUUUUAUUGGAAAUUUAAUUUAGAAAUCAUGCAAGAGGUAUGUUUUUUUUACAUAUUUUUUCCUUUAGAUUUCAAACAACCUUCACUACAAAAGGACUGAGAUUUACAUCUUACAUAGAUUUCACCCAAUAAAAAUAGUUAUGCUGAUAGUUGAUGCCAAUUGUUUAACUUAUGUUGGAGUUAAAUUUUUCUGUUUAUUGAAAAGAUGACCAGUAAAAAGAUCAUCGAUGGCUUGAGGCGCAUAACCCCACACGUAGGUAUGAUUGUUAGUUGUUACAACCAGACGAACUUUGCAAGUGAAAGUGAGAAUGAAGUACGGUCUUCGUCGAUAGCAUUAAUGGCGCGGUUAAGUUUUNNNNNNNNNNNNNNNNNNNNNNNNNNNNNNNNNNNNNNNNNNNNNNNNNNNNNNNNNNNNNNNNNNNNNNNNNNNNNNNNNNNNNNNNNNNNNNNNNNNNUGUAUGUUUAUUAGCAUUUUUUAUUUAUGUAUCUAUUUUCAUAAAUGAUAUUAUUAAUUUUUAUUUUUUAAAAUAGAUUGUUUCAACCGACUUUGGUCUUUGAUUCGCCACUAAGUGUAUGUACGAUUGUGAUAGAAGACAUAAUUAUGAAACACCUAGAAGGCUAGAAGAUUUAGUGUUAGAUGUUUGCAAUCUGGUGGCUAGUCCUUGAGUGGAUGUGCAAUGCUCAUUGUCUUAUCCUUUUUCUGUCAAAGGCAAUCUAGCAAUGUUAAUGUCCAUUUAUAAAUUAUAUAUUACUUAUCCAUCAAAUUAACAAAAUAUGUUUUUAAAAUGUGAAAAAAUAAGGAUCAUUUGACUGUAUUAUCAUUGUUGUUUAUUUUUUACAAGUCACCAAAUGAUAUAGACUGAUAAAAAAAAAGAGAAUGUGGAAACUGGAAAACUUUCUAUGUAAACUAACCGAAUGAUAUAAAGUUCAUGAUUUGUUAUAACAUUCAUAUUGUACUUUUGAAUUUGUUACAACACUUGAUAAAAUAUCUUACUCGUAAUUUUUUAUGCAUGAUAUAAAACAACUGAAAAUAUCUUUAAAGUGUUUUUUCUUUUUCUUUUUUACAAAUUAAAGUGUUCUUUUCUUAAAAGAGUAAUAUUGUCACGAAAUAAUCUUAAAGCAUCGACGUUUUGAUACUUUUUGAUUAGUUCUCUUAUGCUAUGACCCUAAAAAUUUAUGCCAAAACUAAAAUUUUAAAUUUAAUAAUUUAUGAAUAGGAAUUUUAAUAAAUUUGUACAACGUGAAAACUGGGAAGUUAUCGGUACGUGUGAUGUGGACAAAGCUUUAUACAGAGACUGCUAACCAAUAUGGGAUUUUUGGACAAAAACUCUUUGCAACAUCUGAAUAGAGUAAUAAAAAAGGAAAAAGAAACAGAAAUUGAAUUUUGUGAAAUCUAAGUAUCUAACAAGUAAAAACUAUAUAAACUUUUACUGUCCUCUGCCCCAGGAAGAUAUAGGAUAAAAUUCAAAUCCUGUGGGCUGGAUACCAGAUCACGUCCAAAUUCAUUUAUUUGCUGGGCCCAAUUACAAUGAUCAAAAUUCAAUAGAAAAUAAAUAUAUAGUGCUUUAGUGUACCAGAUGAAUACUCGCAAGCUUUCUGUCCAGAUACAUAUUCCGGUUUCAUUUCAAUCAUUUGAAUUAACUUUUUUUAUUUUAACAAAGCUCGUUCACUUGAGUGAUUUCAUUUUCUUCUUCUGAUUUGAAGUUUCCAAAUAAAACUGAUUGUGUUUACAGAUCGAUGGUUUAUCACUUUAGCUAAAAUUUGGUUAACAAAUUUAAUAUCAUGUUGCAGUUUAAAACAAGUUUAAUAUAAUGCUAAAAGCUAGCGUUUAUUAUUUUAUUUAUUUUUGUUAUAAAUAUAGUUAAAAGUCACAAAACUAAUUAUAAGCCUUUUUGACACUAAUGAAUUUUUGGGAACUAACUCACAUAAACUUUUUUUAUAUAAGCAUUUAUUAUAUCAUAUAUUGAAUUGAAUUAAUAAUGCAUCCCUAAAAAUGUAAUUUUUGAAUUAAGCAUCCUUUAGCUUAAACAUAUUUUUAGGUAGUGUUACUUAAGUGAAGUUUAAUUUUUUAAUGUUAUGAAUGAUUAAUAUUAUGUAUUUUUGUUUAAUUUUAGUUAAUAUGAUUAUAAAAAGGUUCAUGUUGCAUGAGAUAUUUAUUUAAAAUAAUACGUAGAUUUUCAAAUAGAGUAAUUACAAUUAUUUUAAAAUAAAUACCUCAUACAAUAUGAACUGAGACGAGAAAGUGCAAAUAAUACAUUUUCUUUGGCAAUGUUGAAACUUGGGGCACGUGGAAUGAAAUGGGACAGACCCAUGUUACAACUUACAACUUGCUCCAUUAUUGGGGGCAAAGAUCCAUGCUCAUUUAUCAUGACGUAAAUAUAAUUUUUUUUUAUUAGCAUUUUGAAUAUUUAAUUUUUUUCUUCUUCUUCUAUGAAACAAAGAAUUAACAUCCGUGUUACUUUUGUUUAUUUUAAAAAAUCAUUAUUUUAAUAAUUUUAAAAUUGGAAAAAAUUAUGUACCGAAAUUAAUUAAUCAUUUUGCAAGCACUAAAUCAACUGUAUGUAAUUGGUAUGGUAUGUAUAUUAACAUUAAGUUUAUGUGAUUCAAUCUUGGAUUUGAGUUUUAUUAAUUAAAAAGAAUUCUUUUAUCAAAAGUGAUUAUAAAUAUUUUGAUAAAGAUUAAUUUUUAAUAAAAUUGAUAAAUUAUUAAUGUCCAUAUCAAUUGAUUAUAUAACAACCAACUUAAUACGUAGGAAAGAUGUUGCCAAACAAAUGUGAAGUACUAUUAGAAGGGCCAUCUGAAAUAAUAAAAAAAAAAAGAUAAAAACUAGAAUACGUAAUAUAUAUAUUGGCAUGGAUAAUGGAUGCCUCAUGCCAAAACGAUAUAUAUAUAUAUAUAUAUAUAUAUAUAUAUAUAUAUAUAUAUAUAUAUAUAUAUAUAUAUAUAUAUAUAUAUAUAUAUAUAUAUAUAUAUAUAUAUAUAUAUAUAUAUAUAUAUAUAUAUAUAUANNNNNNNNNNNNNNNNNNNNNNNNNNNNNNNNNNNNNNNNNNNNNNNNNNNNNNNNNNNNNNNNNNNNNNNNNNNNNNNNNNNNNNNNNNNNNNNNNNNNAAGGAAUUGAUGAUGAUCUCCAACCAGACACAUGCUGUUUCUACGUGGGCAUGUUUGUGAUGAGCACUUGUCUGCAGUCAUAAACUAUAUAGAAAACGAUUUCUUAUAAAUGUUUUUUCUUCUUUUUAUUCUAUUAAUAAAUAGGUUAUAUAUAUUCCUACUUUUAUUUUAUCCCUCCCUGGUCGAGUAGUGGAGCAGCAAAUUUGUAAUCUGCAUUAACUACUAUGAUAAAGUAUAUCAGGGUUAAGGAAAAUGCUAACAAUGUUACGAAUAGUUAUUUUAAUUGUAAUAUAAAAAUAAAAGACGAGUAUUUAAAAAUACUAGUUUUAAAAUUUUUAGAUUUAAUUUAAUUCAUAAAAUAUUAUCUUAAUAAUUUAAUUUAAAUAUAAUGUACUGAUAUAAUAUUUUUUAUAUUGUACAUCCAACAAAAAAUUGUUAUUUUAUAUAUAUAAGUUUGUGAACUUUUAUAGUAUAUAUAAUAAUUACCUUAAAAAUUAUUUCAAUGGUAAUUAUUUCUUAUUAGUGACACUAUAAUUUUUUUAAUAUUGAUAAUGUUAAUUAUAUGAAAAUAAGUAUAAUUAAAAAUGAAAAAAUAUCCUUUAAUUAAAUAUGAAGUUAAAAUUAUGAAUUUAACAUUGAUUGUGAAUAAAAAUAUUAACUCAAGUGUUCUGGAUAUAUAAAGAGAACACAUAUGUAAAUUGUCUCAAUUUAAAAAAUAAAGACUCAAAAUAUUUAUUAUACAAGGAAAUAUUCUUACACUACAUCGGUAUUGGUAAAUACAUGUGAAAUAGAAAAGGAUAAAUUGAAAACUUUAAGAAAAUAUUAUUUUAUUGGCAAUCAAAACAUAAAAUUAAUAUAUUUGAACAUUUUAAUUUUAAAAAUUUUAAACUUAAUUUAAUUAAUGGAAUAUUAUUUUCAUUAUAAUUUAUAAUUAUCUUAUUAUAUUUAACAUUAAUUAAAAUAAAUAAAUAUUGACUAAAAUAUUUAUAGUGUUUGAUUUUGAGAUAACUAAAUAAAAUGAAGAAUAUUGUUUGAUAUAAAAAAGUCAAUAAAAUAUGUGUCAAAACAUAAAAUAAUGUGAUUGUAUAAAGGAAACAUGUUGUGGGAUUAUAAUCAAUUGAAAAAGAAAGUAACUAAUAAGCUAGCUUUUUAUUAUUAUUUUAUUUCAACCAUAUAACCAUGUCCUUAACUUAACAAAACCCAUGAAUUCCUCUGUACAUUUAUUUAUUUUUAAUUAAAAAUUACACCAAUUGACCGAAAUCCACACAAUCUACCACAUUGCCCUCUUUUCUUAGUUACAGUUUAAUGUUAUAUAUAACUCAGAAAAGAGACCACAAAGAAAAUAAUUUAGCAGACCUACAAAAUAACAUGGCCAUGAAGAAUAUGCCAAGAUCUCUCCAAUAUAUGAUUUUGAAACUCAACCUAGUUCGUUCAAUUUGUCUGUAAUCCAAGUUUUUCUAUGGUUCGUUUUUCUUUUCACAUUCUCUCUACCACAUGGCUUUUGGAUCAAGCAGACCCCAUCUCCCACUAUAUUUUGUAUCCUCUUUUUUAUUUUUCCAUCACCAUUAUUCUUUUCAUGCAUCUCGGUAGUAAUCGCUUUCACAUAGCUACUGCAUGUGUUAUUCUCAAAAGUUGUAGAAUAUAAUGCCAAGGAGAAUUAUGAGACAUUGGAUAGGACAAAUUCCACACAUAUCACAUGCAUGGCACACAAAUGGACUAAGAGUGUUUUGAAUCCCAAAGAGUAAUAUUGGUAUAUACCUAAUAAACUUGUUAUAUAUUGGCCAACUUAUUGACAAUAUAUGUGGCAAAAUACAUAGAGAUUUAUCUGUCCACUCAAAUACUAAAGUUAUCAAUUAUUUGAUCUGUGUGAUUUUUUUAUCCUUCCGUAAAUUAUUGAGAUGGCAGUCAUUAUUUUUAAUAUUUGCCGCUUUACUCAACUACAUUGAGGGAAAAAAAACAUCUUGACUUUCUUCUUGAGUUGGAUUUUACGUAUUGUAAUUUUCUCUCUCUGCAGAAUGAUUAUAAAAGAUAUUUGUGUUUGUGGAUAUCAGUGCAGAAAAAUGCAUUGAAAAACAUCACUCCAAAAGUUGUGAUUUUCUUUUACUGACAUUUUACCCAAUUUUGAAAAAAAUAAUUAAGAAGAGAUGCUAGUAACUUCUAAUUGACAUGACCACACAUCAUAAAGCUCAAAUAAGAGAAUUAGAGUAUCAAUAUAGUAAAUCAUUAUAUAUAUUUGAUUAAAAUGAUAAAGGAUGAUUUACAGUAGGUGUAAGUGCUCUAUAUAGAGAGAGCUUGUUUCUAAUAAGCUAAUAUUUAAUCUUAAAAGUUAAGAAAACACUUUGCCAAUAUAAAUCGUGCAUCAGGGGGAUCACAAGGGACUGCAAACUCCAAUUGUUAUAAACAGCAGGGUCAUUCUUUAAUUAUUUACAAAUAAAUCUGUUAAAACUAAUUUAAAUUAUUUAUAAUGAAAUUCUAUACAAUUUUCCAAUUUAUAUGGGAAGUUGCCGAAAGCCCAAGAAAUGCUUCAGUAUGAUUGGUUUCUCAUCCUAGAGCCUAAAAUAAUAAGAAGUUAUAUAUUCUUUUUUCUUCACUUUGAACUUGUUUACAACUUGAGAUUAAUGAGAAACCAAUCACACUGAAAAAAGGUAUUUACAUUAAGGAAAGGAGAGAAUGUGACCAGUAAAGAUACUAGCUUCUGGCUUAUUCUAUUCAAUUAAUAGCUCAAAUUGCAACUUGUGUGCAAGACCUAAUUUUUAUUAUCUCUUUUCUGUUUUCUUUCUCCAUUAUACUAAACAAGAGAAAAGCUGCUUUUUCUAUCCACUUUGUCUCCUUUUUCCACCAAAACCAAACUGCAUUUUAAGUGUAAAUCUUGACAAAAAUUUGUUAUUUCUUCUCAAAGAGUUUACGUGAUUUUUGGUUGGUGGGGUCUUCUCUCACUGAUUUGACAUUAAAAAAUGCAACAUAAUUGUACAAUGACAUGCAGGUUAAUUUAUAUUUUUUAAAAAAAACUGUAUUUUCACAGACACAAUUUUUAUAUCGCGUAUUUAUCAUAAUUCUUUGCUUUUAAUUAUGUGGUAGAAUUGUUAUUAAAUUAAUUAUCAAAUUUACAAACGAAAAAUAUAAGAAUAGUAAGUGCAUUAUAUUUUACCAUUUUCCUAUUGAUUACAUGUGAUUAUGUCUGCCACACACUUGGAACAUUGAAGCUUGUAAUGGAAGGAUCGAGAAAAUAAGAUAAACAAUUUUAAAAUGUGUCCUCCCCACAUACACUAGGUCAGUUUAGUUUAAUGAAAGGGUCCCAUAUAUAUUGUAGCAGGUUCAUAUUUCCACAUUAUGAUGGAACCCUUGGACCCUACUAUAUCAGAUCAUGUCUUGCUUAUCUUUUCUUUCUUUUAUAUAUCCUCUUUUUUUUUUUUUUAUUCAGUUCUCGUUGCUUAUUAAGUAUUGUAAAUACUGUUUUUUUUUGUGCUCCUUCUAAAUACUGAUUAACAAAAUAAUAAUAAUUUAUAUAUAUUAAAAUUUACAAUAAAACACAUUUAUAUAUUUUAAUAAAAUUUUCAUUUAUAAUCCGUUAACUAAUAUUCUAAAUACACAUGUUAAUGUUAGCUUUUAUUCCAACAUAAGAUAUCACACAAAGAAUUAAUUAAAUGUUAAAUAUUAAAUUUUGGAGACAAAUGUCACAAUGAAAUGAUGGUUCGUGUCAACUGAGUUAUUAAUUUAAGAAUUAAAUGUAGAUACAGUCGAUUAGUUCUCUUUAUUAAUUGUGUUGUUAAAUUAUAUUUUAAAAAAAAAAUUAGGUUGUAUUUACUUUGUGUGAUAUCUUUCCGGUUUUGUAGAACAUAAAAAUGUAUACUACAUAAUUAAAAACAAUUAAAGAGAAUAAAAAUCUUAUUUAUUUGCAUCUAACGAUGUACUUACUUUAACGGAAAAAAAUAUGUAAUAUUUUUUAGAUUUUCAAAAUUUAAUGUAUAUAUAAUUACUUAUAAAAUUACUCUCUGUUCAUAUAUAUAAAACCUAAUUAAAUAAUUAAUUAAUAUUAAUAAAAAUAAUGUAUUUAGUUGAAAACAAUAAAUUUAUUUAAAAUUUAUAAUUUUUUCAAAAUUAUUUUUAUCAUUAAUAUUUUUUCUCUUCAAAUAAUUUAUUAAUAUAUAUAUAUAUAUAUAUAUAUAUAUAUAUAUAUUAUUUUAAUAAAAAAUAUUUCUGAUAUAAAAAUAAUUAAUAUAAGACAUCUUAUAAAAAAAACAAACAUCAUCUUAAAUUUUAAUCUUAUAAAUAGAAACGAAAAAAAUAUUUAGUUUAUUUCACUCCAAAAAUAUGAGUAGAGAUAUUCACACCCGUAUUCUAUCAACCAUCAUAUACUCAUAUAUGUGAGACUUUACUUUAUUCCACUUGAAAAAUCUCUUGAAAUUUAUAUAAUUUAGAAGUUAUUUUAAACAGGAAAAAAUCUAAAUUGAAUUGAGUAACUUUAUUUAAGAAAAUAAAUUAAGAAAAAUCUUUUUACAAUUCUUUCAUAUAUAAAACUUUCACUUUAACACCUUAUUUAAAGAAAAUUAAACUAAUUACUACUUAAAUAGACACACAUUCUUUGAGAUUAAAUGUAGGAUAAAUAUAAGUAUAUUUGUAAUUGUAAGUUUUUUUUAAGCCGUGACUUUCCCUUCCAUGAACUAGGGUCCCUCCCCCUGAAUUUUCAUGCACCACGCAUGUCUUUGCAAACUGCACUCCUAGUUCCUAAAAAUCUCAUAAUGAACAGUUCCACUUUGAGAAAGUAUAAUUGAUAAUAUUAUAUAAUAUAAACUUGAUGAUAUUUGACAAAAUACUAGUCCUGAAAAAACAAUUAAAAAAAUAUUUUUAAAAUAUUUAUAUUAGUAUCCUAUGUUGCAGUAAACCUUAUGAAUAAUUUAGAUUUUUCCACCCCCAAAAAAGUUAGAUUCUCUAAUUUUUUUUAAUAAAAUGAGUGCGAAAUUUUACCUAAUACUAAAAAAAAACUAAAGAUACUUUGUUAAAUAUUCUUCUAAAAAUAAUUAUGUACUAAUGAAGAAAAAAAAAUCUCCAGGGUGGGCAGCAAAUCUAAUAUUUUAUUUUGAUGUUUGUAAAAAAAAUUCCAACUUCUAAUAUUCAAAGUUGGAGAUAAAGAUUCCUUCAAUCGGGUCCAAAUCCGACUACAGUAUUGUGAUGUUCCAAACGGCCACCUAGAUGCAAACAUUUUUACUUCAAACAUUUUAAUCGUGUGUAUUGUGUAAUGUUACUAAGAAUAUUAUAUUAUUAUCACUUAACAGUUAAAUUCAAAUAUAAAUCAAUAUUAUAUAAAGAAAACCCUAUACAAAUAAUAAUUAAAGUACAAAUUUAAAAAAAAAGAAAAUAUUAAAUUCACUUAAUGAAUUCGAACUGAUGUAGCAACGAAGCACACAUGUCGUGAUUUCAUUAAUAUAAUAGUUUUUAAAAUUUGUUGUACAAUGGUUAAGAAAUAAAAAUAAUCGGUGUUUGGUCGACCCUGCACAUUUUUCUAAGGCAAAUACCAAUCGAUUUGAUAUUGGCCUUGUCAAGGCCAAUAGUAGUAUAUAUCUUACUUUUGAUGUUAUUCUUUCUAACGAAUAUAAAUAUAUAUUACUUUCGAUCCUUCAUAAAAAUGAGUAAUAUAUUUUUUUGUCCUAAUUAUAAAAGAUACAUGAUUAAUUCAAAUGUAUUAGUCGUUAAUUUUUAGAGAAUCAAUGUACAAUGAUAUAAAAAAAGGGUCUUGUAUCAAUUUACUCAUUUAUAUAUCAAUAUUAAACGUUGGUUAUUAGAUUUAUUUUUAUCGUAUUAUCCUAUAAAAAUUAUUAUCUUACUUUUGAUGUUAUUCUUUCUAACGAAUAUAAAUAUAUAUUACUUUCGAUCCUUCAUAAAAGUGAGUAAUAUAUUUUUUUGUCCUAAUUAUAAAAGAUACAUGAUUAAUUCAAAUGUAAUAGUUGUUAAUUUUUAGAGAAUCAAUGUACAAUGAUAUAAAAAAUGGGUUUUGUAUCAAUUUACUCAUUUAUAUAUCAAUAUUAAACGUUGGUUAUUAGAUUUAUUUUUAUCGUAUUAUCCUAUAAAAAUUAUUAUCUUACUUCAUAUGUCUCAAAAAAAGUAAUAUAUAUAUAUAUAUAUAUAUAUAUAUAUAUAUAUAUUUAUAUAUCUUUUUUUUUAAUUUUGUAAAUGAGUGUCAUAGAAAUAUAUUAAUUUAUUCAUUUUUACUUUUUAUUAUAUACUUUAAUUUUUAAAUCCGAUGAAUUGAACACUAAUAAUCUGUUUUAUGUUUGGUUUCAAGUUUAGAAGUCUUUACCUCUUAAGUCGAUGAAACUAUAUGUCUAUAUUCACGAAUUGGAAAAUUGUACAUCAAAAUGUAAUUAAAUUGUAAUACAAACACAUACUUAAAGAGUCUGCUUAAUAUAUACCACAUGAACUACGUUAAAUACCGAAAACCUAUGAGAGUGAGAUUGACAUUCAACAUGCCAAAAAAAAAAUACUACCAAACAUGUAAAAACACACAUUUAAUAGUUGGUGCUGAUGCACGGCAAAAGAAAUUAGUGCAAUAAAUACCUUUGGCAAUUAAUUCAAAACACUUGGUAUAACGAAUUGUGAGUAUGGCAAGUUUGUCAUCUGCUCUUAUUCUUCCUAACACGUUUGGACCCAUCUUAUCACAAAACAUUAUUAGAGGCCCUACCAUCUGAGGUAUCAGUUUUUAUUAUGCCACUUGACCCUUUUACUUGUUUAGGUUGAUGACUUUGGGAUGCUGAGAAUAGUGUUAAUUUGUCAUUUGUUCCAUAAUUUUUUUAAAUAAAAUUUAAAGUUAUUGGAUAUUCUAUUAAAUACAAAUACUUUAAUAUAUAUUAUAUAUAUUUUUAUAAUAUAAAUAAACUAAUAUUUUAGCCUAUGCAUUGCACAUAAUAAAUGUUUAUUGUAUAUAACUAAUAUUUAUAAUAAAUAAUUAUUUUAAAUACAUAAUUACAUUAUAAUUAAAAAUCAUAUCAUAAUAAAUAAAUUUUUUUAAACAUAUAAUCUAUAUUUUAAAUUUUUAAUCUAAUAUGAUAUUUAUUUUUAGUUAUUGAUACUUUAUUUAAUGAAAUAUUGAAAUACAAUUUAGAACUAAAGAUAUUAAAAAUAAUAAAUUGAAGGAGAUAAAAAAAGUAAUAAAAAAAAUCUAAAAAUACUCUCGCUGAAGUUAUUAAGUGUUGUUAAUCUAAUUGUUGAAUAUGCACACAAAAUUUUAGAUAAACAUCUGCUUAUAUUUUAAAAAGUAUAUUAUACGUUAAUUAAAUUUAUCAAAUAAAUAGAUUCACGCACUUCUUCUGUUCUCUUUCUCCACACACACACAAUUUUUUUAGUUAAUAUAUUAAAUUAAAAAAAAUUAUAUUCUAACUAGUUACAACUUAAAUUUAUGAAAAACUCUCCAAAACGUAUCUUGUUAAUAAAUUUAAAAAAAAGUUUCCAGCCCCUCAUUUAUUUUGACUAACUUUAUUUGCUUUCCACAAGACCACAGGUCCACAACUAACACUUACGUUUUCAACAAUGAAAAAAGAAGUCGUAAACCCUUUAAUAAAGGAAAUGAUAUUUUAUAAAAUAAUUGUAAUAAAAUUGAUUAUUAUUUACACAAGACUUAAUAUUCUAAGCGUCAAAUAUCCAUAUAGAUUAUGAGUAUAAUAACAAUUUUAUACUGUUGAUUUGAAAUAACACUUUAAUAUUAUAUUAUUCAUUUUAAAUAAUAAAUUAUUUCUUGGUAUCAAUAAUAUGCAGUUAAAUUCUUACUUUGUUAUUUUUAUAGACUGUCAAUGGUACGGGAGUAAGCUUCUCACUUUCUCUGUCGGGAUUUUUUCAGUCACAUUCUUAAUUGGCGCCCGACAAUCAAAUGAAAAGUUACUUGCGGAAACGCACAUACUUUUCAGACUGCACGUAGACAACAUCAAGAACAAAAGAAAUCAAAUAACCCAAUCUUUCAUGAAAUUUUUUAAACAUAAACAAUUUCACUUUUUUUCUUUCUUUCUAAAGUAUAGUAAAUAUACGUCACAUAGAUACGAACACAUUAUUAUGAUUUACAUAAAUUGGGUAACAAAUUGAGAGAGAAUAUAAUUUAUUUAAUUAUAUAUGUUAUUAGUUUUACAACCCCCUGCAAACGCAGCUGGUUGAAAACUACAUGAUCAUGCAGCGAGGGCGCAGUGCUUUACAACUGUUAAAAUACACCGAUAUUCAUAAACAAAAGAAAAAAGACAAGAAACCAAUCCCUAUCAUAGAAAAUUAUAAUGAUUUAACAUUUUUUUUAUAAAAGACAAAACGCCGAAACUUUGCUUCCAAUUCUUCUCUUUCGUGCAUCGCGAAGCGCUUCUUCUUCCUUUUCUAUCGCUUUCUUUUAUUCGUUGCACAUAUUCUUCAUAUCCUACAAAAAAUAUGAACAUAUUAUUACCAGUGUCGGUCAAUGUCAUGAUGAAGUGGUCCCUUGACUAAAACCAAACGAGAAAAUAUCGUUUUCCAUAUCAGACUAGAACCUCGAUAGGGAUCACGAGGGUUUGGUACUCGUUUUUUGGGAACAAUUAAUAUAUGGANNNNNNNNNNNNNNNNNNNNNNNNNNNNNNNNNNNNNNNNNNNNNNNNNNNNNNNNNNNNNNNNNNNNNNNNNNNNNNNNNNNNNNNNNNNNNNNNNNNNAGUGCGACGGUGCGCGAAGUGGUGGUGGCGAGUGGUAGUAAUAUGGCUUCUUAGGUGGAGUGGGAGAAGGUGGAGGAGGAGAGUGAUAAUAAUAUGGCUUCUUUGGUGGUGAAGGAGAAGGUGGUGGUGGAGAGUGGUAGUAAUAUUUUGGUGGUGGAGGUGGUGAAGGAUAGUGGUAUGGAGGAGACACCGGUGGGUACUUCUUGGGUGGUGGAGGUGAUGAGUACAAGUAGUUAUCAGCUAAGAUUUGUGUUGGCAAGCUUAGAGACACUAUAGCCAAUACAAGAGUCAAUGUUGCAGAGGCCAUUAGAGACCCCAUUGUUUUUCCCCUCAACCUCACUACAAAGUGGGGUUUUGUUAUGAUCUUUGUGAACCAAGUGCCACCCUUUAUAUAGAUUCUUUCUUUACCCCAUUCAACACCAACUAAUCAUUUUGGUAAAAAAAAAUUCAACCAUACUAAAAUGCGCAAGCAUUUUUCCAAUCAGGUGUUGUUCUCUUUCUAGUAGCAGCCUUCACUUAAUUGUUUUCAAAUAAAAAGCUAAUAAUUCAUCUCAUAAAAAUUUAUCAAUUAAAACAGAAUUUAUUGCCAAUAAGAUAAAAAAGAAAUGGAAAAUAAAUAUGUAAAUAAAUUAAAACUACAUUCCCCAGUAUUCACGUUCAUAAACAGAAAAGGCCUUAAAUUAUGAAAAUGAUAUCUGUCCUUUUUUGUAUAUGGGUUUGACGGAGGCUGCUAAGCUAGCACAGCAGGGAAAUAAUAUUCAACAAAGUAGCUACUAAUUGUGACAUUGAACUUUUAAUUAUUUUCUCACUGUAUAAGGCGAUCUAGUUAAUAAUUUUCAAAUAUUCAAAGAGGAAGUCAUAUUCAUUAAAGUUUUGGGUAUUCCUAAUUUGUCAUUUCUCGUCCUAAUACACUUCAUUCAACUUUGAAAAAUACAUGGAUGGUUUGCCUAACACUGUGCGAUAUUUGUUGUCAUCGGAAGACUUUAAAAAGAUUUGUACUGCAUGGCCCAUAGCAGCCUCAGCUCAAUGAUUUUUCUUUCUCUCUCUAAUAAAUUAAUCUACGGUUCUCAAGAGCACACUCUAGUCUUGAGUGUGCAACAGAUCACAACUUGCACAUGUUGCAUGGCAUUGCUUGAGUCCUUUUCGGAUAAAGACAAGGGAAGCUAUGCCUCCUUUUACUUUCCAGCUUUUUUUAUUUUUUACUCUCCAAAGUAUAAAACUUUGGUAUAAGAAUGCUGGUCAAAUUUAUGUCUUGUAAUCCAUUAUAACUAAUUUGGUUUCCUCAAUGAAAUGUGAAAAUUAAAAAUAAAUCCCAAUUAUUUUCAUUAGAUUAAAGAAAAUGAAAUUUUAAGUCUAGAAAAUAUAGUCAAAUUUAAAAAUAAACAAUUCUUUUUAUCUUUUUUUUUAUAUAUAGAAAAUACAAGUAUGUAACAAAUUUUUUUCAUUAUUAAAUAUUUAACGCAUAACCCAUUUGUAUAUAUAUCCAAAUUCGAAUUAUAGAUUCUUAAUUAAACUAGAACCACUCAACAUGGAUUAGUCUAUUGUAAGCAAAUCUCGAUACUUUUAAGUAUACAUGCAACAAUUUAAUAGAAGCAAGCAUGUAAAUCAUGUCGUUGGUAACAAUAUAAUAUAUAAUAAACAAAUAAGAGCGUACAAAUUUACUAACGCAUGAAGCAUGUUCGUGUAUCGUUGUAUGAAAAGGAAAUUGUCAAAUUAAUAUGAUAUUGUACAUACAACUGAUACUGGUAAUAAGAUCUCAUAUAUUGUUCAGAUUUCAUAACGUUGACCGUAUACAUAUUAAGCACGAUGAGCUUUUACAAAUAUUUAGUUAAUCAAUUAAAAUAUAUGGGAUAACUUAUUUAAUUCUCAGUACAUAUCUUAUGGGACCAAAACUUUUCGAUAUCGGUUUCCCUGUCCUCAUAAGUUAUUAAUACGGAUUAAAUAAAUGGUGAAAUGACUAUUCAACAUAUUGAAUUUCUUAUUAAAGUAAACUAUUUUUUAGGGGGGAAAACGCAGUUAUUAAGAAGUCACUACCAAAAAAGAAAAAGUUACUAACAUCUUAUUGUUUGAUUAAUCGUCGUCAUUAGAAGAUUGAUAGCCACCCAGCAACUAUUAUUAACUAAAAAGAAAACCAACAAUGGGAUAAUUUAACAAUUAAUCAAAAUGUGUGAUUUAUGCAGCCAGUUGUUAGUGUAGGUUGCAAAUUGCUUUAUCCAUUAAUGCCACGAAGCAAGACUUAUGCCUUAAAUAAGUUCUGAAUUGACCCUUUUCUAUAUUGCUACCAGUUACCCAACACUCGAACACAAUACCAUUUACAACUCUUAAUUUGUUUAAUACUUGUCUCUUCUGUAAAUUGGAUAGUGGAAGAGAAGGAUUCAAAAUUGUGUUAUCCACAUCGUAUUUCCUUUUGAACUUGCCCAGUUUUUAUGGGUGAAAAAUCAAUUUUUUUGAAGUAGAUGGGUGGAGGGGCGAAGAGGAAGAGAACUGUCAGAAUAUAGCAUGUGACUCUCUUAAAUUUAAAUAGAUGAUUCAAUUUUUUUAUUGAUAAAUGUUAUUUUUUAAUUUAUUAGCUAGGAAUAAUCUAACACAACUUUUUUUUUUAUUUUCUUCUUUCUUAAUCAUCCAACAACCUUAUAUCUCCUAUACCUCUUUUAACCUGAGUAGUGAAUUAUUUUUAAUUGUAAUUCAAUGACUUUCAUUAAUAGUUCUCAUUUCUCCAGAAUUUUUAAGUGGUUAAUUUAAAAAAUUUAUUUUGAUUAACUAAAUUUAUAAAAAGUGAUUUAUUUUUUUAGAGAAUAUAAAAUUGUUUUAUGAUCAUCUUAUAUAUUUAAUUUUAAUUUAUUUUAAUAAAUUUUACGACAAAUAUUACUAAAAAAAUAAAAUUUAUAAUUCACUUCUCUAAAAAAUUUCUCCNNNNNNNNNNNNNNNNNNNNNNNNNNNNNNNNNNNNNNNNNNNNNNNNNNNNNNNNNNNNNNNNNNNNNNNNNNNNNNNNNNNNNNNNNNNNNNNNNNNNAAAAUUUAUAUGACCUAAAAGGCUUAAAAUAUGUUUUUGUUCCCAUAUAAUUUAAUGUUUUUCUAUUUAUGGUUAUGUAAGUUUAUUUUUUUAAUUUAACCAUUGUAUGUUUAAGUUUUUUUAUUUUUGGUCUCUGUAAUUUUUUUUUUGUUAAUUUUUAGUUCUUUCAAGUUUGUAUUUUUUUUUCAAUUUUAGUCCUUUUAAGAUUAUAAUUUUUUUAUUUAUAAGAAUCAAAAUUAAAAAAAUAAAACUUAUAAAAACAAAAUUUAUUUGAGCUGACCUAAGUUUGUAUGUCUUUAAUAAUAUCAAAAUGUUCUAAAAAGAGAAGAGUGAUAGAGACUUAGAAUAUAUAUAUAUAUAUAUAUAUAUAUAUAUAUAUAUAUAUAUAUAUGAGGAGAAAUUAAGUUACACCAAAAAUAAUUUUUUAAGAAUUCUUAAAAGAGUUAUUCAUUCUUUUGUGUAAAUUGAUUCAUCAUGUCUAUAUAAUAGAGUAUUGAAUCUCAAACGACAUGGAAAAAUGAAAAAUAUAAUAAGUCGAAAAGAAAAUAAAUUAAAAUGAACGAAAAUGAUAUUAAAAUUUCCUUACUCCUUUCCAAAUUCUGGCAUCAAAAUUUAGUUAUAACCUUAAAGUGAUUUUGCUAAACAUGAAUAUGGAGUGAAAGUUUGUUUAGGCGCCAUACAAGUGUUGGUUGCAGGGAUCGAUCAUGAGGUUGAAAAAAAGGAUAAAACAUUUCUCUGCUUUAUGUAAAGAAGUAAAGAAUGAAAGAUUAAAGAUUCCACAAAGAAAGUAAAGAGAUGGAUGCAUGGGAAGAAUAUAUCACUCAGUUAAACAAAGGGGUUGGGAAGAAAAGUGGAGAUAGUACCUUAUUAAUUUCAUGCUCUUAUUUUCGUAAAAUUCGUUGGGCGUUACCAUUUGUCCAUGCUUCUUCGUAAUGGUUUGGUAAGCUUAAUUAUAACUGUUGUUUCAAUGUGUCUUAAAUUAGAAAACGUAAUUAAUUAGCUAGUUAGUCAUCAUAUACCCAAGUAUCAUUACAUCACGAUUGAUAUAUAACCUAAAACAAUAAAAUAAGUGUUAUUUCUUUAUUUUAUAUAUAUAUAUAUAUAUAUAUAUAUAUAUAUAUAUAUAUAUAUAUAUAUAUAUAUAUUUAAAAAUCACAUAUUUUUUCACAAUAAAUAAUUCUAUUCAAAUUGUGUAAGAUUAUAAUAAAAGAUUUUUUUCUUCUUGUAUAUGGAAGACUUAAAUUCAAUAUCAUUAACUAUAAAUAUUUUAUACCAAUUGGUAUAUAGUUAAUAUAACCAUAAAAUAAAUUAUAUGAAUAACACAAUUCAAUAAAUAAUCAAUGACACUUUGAUGAGGCAUAUGUAUGCCAAUCCUUUGAGUUUCAACAUUCCUGCAAAUAUGAUCAUUAAUAAUAUUUUUUUAUCUAACACUUAAUAAAAAUAUUAUUAAUUUUUUUUGACAACAUUUAAAAAAUAUCACAAAAUUAUAAAUAAAUGUUACAAAUAUAUUUUUAUAAUAUUUAUCAAAUCUUACAUAUAAUUUAUGUUGUUAAAGUCUUUUUAUGAUAUUUUUAAACUUUAGCAGCAUAGAUUAUAUACAUCAUUUGAUAAAAUAUCACAAAAAUACAUUAGUAAUAUUUAUUUAUAAUUUGAAAACAUUUUUUAAGUAUGACCAAAGGCUUUUAAGGGCAUUUUUAUUAAAUGUUAGAAAAAAAAAAUCAUUAAAAGCCAGACAUGUAGUAGUGCAAACUAAAAUGAUAAGGAGAGAGGUAACAAAAAAAAUACAUCAAAGCAAAGAUGCUUACUUUAUAAUCGUUGAUUACCUGCCAUAGUUUAAUUUAAUCAAAUAGUAUAAAAUAGUAAUGACUGGUGGUUAAUCUUAAAUAAGGAUUGACUAAUAAGCAGCCAGCAAUUAAUUCGACAACGCAACCAUAGACGGAAGUGGAAAGUGUUGUUAGAGAACUUUUAUGUAUAUCUUAAAAAAGUAAAACAAUUUAUAAUUCACCGUCACAGGGCAUUAUCAUCAUCAAUCAAUUACGAUGAACCUUACAAGAAAUAAAAUAAUAAAGCAUAAGUAUCAUAGAAAAGAAAGGCACCAGCUGGGGCAAUGAUACACUAGACCUUGAUUAUACAUGGAAAACAUUUAAAAUUAAAAAAAUAGAUAUAUGCUUAGCUUUCAGAUCCAGUCUGGCCAUAUAUUUGACCCUUCUUCAUGAUCUCAUACAUGUCACAUUUCCAUUGACCGAAUGUCCUUUUCACAUGUGUGAGUGAGACAUAGACAGAUAACAAUGUCUGAAGCAAAUGCCAUUAACUUGUAAUAUUUUUUCCUAUAAGUUUAUAGGAGAGGAGUAUAGGUCAUCAGUCACCACCAAUCAAAAUUCAAAACUAAUCUCACUUUCUCUGAUGGUAAUUAACAACAGUUUUAAGUACUAGUAAGUUUGAUUUUGGCAAUUUUGGGGGUAGAAAAUUUCCAAAGAUAGUAGAACCAGCAAACAAGCAAUCACCGGCUACUUCAGUACUGUCUUACUGUGUCUUGGCCGUAAAAUUCCUUUACUUAAAUAUGAAGUGAAAGUGACUGGACAACACACAAUUUGGAAAUUUAUUUGUUUUUUUAAACGAGAUUCUUUAUGGAAAAAAAAAAAAACAAAAUGAGAAUCUACUUGAUUUUAAAAUAAUGUUUAUUUUAAUUGUGGGUAAGUGUGCAUAUUGAAUUUUGAGAACAUUUAUUUUUUUGACCAAAUUAAAUAAACUAAAAUGAGUUUGAUUUCUGAUCAAAUUAAAUUAUUUUUUUUCUUAAUAGAUCGAAACACAGUUUUAACUGAUUUCGGACAAGAAUUUGAUUAAUUUCAAAUUAUUAGAAUUGAAUUAAGGCCUUUACUAGCAUUAACCUUUCUUGUAAAGACCUUUAAUCCAAUUUUAAUUCAGCAAAAAAAAAAGAAGAAGAAGCAUUAACCUUUCAACUAAAAAAAACAGUGCGAAGAACCCAAAACUUGCAUAAUUUAAAGAAAAAAUUACUAUUUUUUAUAAGAAAAUUUACUAAUUUUUGUUGUUACAUUUUAUCAAAUUUUGAACAACAAAAUUUAUUUAAUUUAUACAUAAUGUCCCUGAAAGGUUAAUUGUUUUGUCGUAAACUAUAAUUUGAAGGGGUAAAAGUUAAAAUUUAAAGUGCAAAAGGUUUUUUCUUUUCGAUCCCGCCCAAACCUGAAAUGAUUAUUAGUGGACAUCAGAUGAUUCAGACCUACCUAGGUUGGUGAAAUUUUGGAGGGUUUGUACAUCAAAUUCAUGAUUGGCUUAUUUGGGGAAGACUUUUGUGAGCUAUUCAUAAUCAUUGGCCCGUCUACACUCUAUAGUGCUAACAUGCACGCAUGUACAUAAUGAACACGGAAACUAUAAUAAUAUUAUUAAUUACUAUAUUAUAUAUAUGGUAAAUGAUUGCUUGUUUAAAUAAUAAUAACUAUUGAAAAGCCAAUGGAAAUAAAAAUUGGUAGGAUUGUUAAUUAGCAUGAGAUUUUGAACAACCUUCAAUCAGGAUGUCUGCAAGAUGGGUGUACAGUCCACUAGAGACCACGCAUCUUAAAGCUUGAAUAAGCUUUUUUACAGCUAAAGCCUAACUUUGAAACGUUAUAGACGCCAUGCAAGUCAAAUUCUAAAAGACUAAAACAUUCGUACAAAAUCGUUUACGAAGUAUUGGUACAAAAAUAUUUAUAUCACAUGGUCACUUGACUUUUAUAAGAUAAAUGCUUAUUAAUUAUUAUUAUUAUACAGUAUAUAUGCACCAUAAAAAAUUAAACCCCUUUUUAGGGUGAUUAAUUUUAUGUCAUUGAUAUCAUUUUCAUGAUAUCAGUGGCAAGUUGUAAUUAAAAUUAGAAUAAAAAAAUAUAUAUACAUUUUAUUAAAUAAAUAUAUACAUUCUAUUAAACAAGAUUAAUCAUUUUUAAGUUAAAGAUUUUAUUGUGGGUUAUUAUGUGAUAUUGGGUGUUGUUCUUCAUUGUUUUUAUUUGAAGGUUUUUGUUUGUUAUUUGUAGGGUAUUUAAUAAAAUUUCUCGAGAGUGUCUUAUUUGUAAAGAAUAAUUUCAAUUUUUCACAAAUAUACUAACAACAUUAAUUAAUGAAUUUGAUUAGGAGUGUACGUAAGAGAAAUACAUCUUAAGAGAAGAGAAUGCAUAUGUAAUAUAUUCAAACUUGUAAGAAUAUUUGUGUAAUUUACUUAAAAAAAUAAUUAUACGUAUAAUACGUGGAUUCCUUUCCUCUCAAAUAAAAAAGCAUGUGGUUCCUUUACACGCCCAAUAUUUAUUUAUAGAUCAACUUAUAUAUUAUGAGUAAUGAGAGGACGUAAAGUAUAAAAGUGAUAAGAUAUAUUUGUCAUUGUUAUCUGUACUAUUAAAUAUUGUAAAGUAUUGGUCUAAAAUUUAAAAUACGAAAGUGCUUAUUGUAAUUAUGUACUGUUUAGGUGGAUAGCAUUAGAUUACCAGCAAUUUGCAUGCAAAUACUUUCCUUUAUUUUCGGAAAAUAAUGGGUAGAUACUUGUACUCUAGUAGACACUUAUGUUUCAAUAAUAAUAAAAAAAAGACACUUAUAUGCUUGAUUUAGGGAAGAAAGAAAAAGAAAAAAAAAAUGAAAGAGAUGAUUUUAUAAGUUAUUUAGUAAGGAAGAAAACUGAAUAUUUAUAUAAAAUACCAUAAAUACCCUUUGUAGAAAAAAUAUACUAAAAGUAAUGAUAUUUUAGAUCUUUAAUGUUUUUUUAAUGUAUUAAUCCACUUCUCUCGCUAUCUUUCUGUUUUGGAAAGAUUGUUAAAUUAGUGGGUCCCACCUACUUUUUUUUCAUUUGUUCCUAUUUUUCAAGGAAUCAAAUGAGUGGGAAAAAAAAAUAUAAUUUUAUAUAUUUUCUUUCUCUUCCGUUUCUUCUUAUUUUUUGUCAUUCCAAACAUAUAGUGUAAAAGAAAUAAAGAAAGACCAGAAAUUUUUUUAAGCAUAAUAUAAUAUGUGAUAGGGAAAAAGAUAAAAAAAUUAUAAAUAUUAAGAAAGUGUUUAGACUUUAGAGUUAAAAAAUAUUCGUAUUUUUCUAUCACUGUAAAUGAAACUAGAUCCUUCUCCACAUGAUAGUUCUCUCUCCAACGAAAUUAUUUACCAGCUUAUCUCUCUC